GAUAGAAAAGGUUGGAGAGAGUGACUCUCAACAAUUCUCUCCUUUCUAAAGCUGCGAAAGAGGCCCCAACCCCCCCACCCCCCAAAACAAGGACAAAGCCAACCAACCCUCUUUUGCCCCUUUAAUGAGAGACCCUCGCCUCGCUUCCUAUUCAUUUGUGGGUCGGGACCCGAGGGCCUUUUUUUUUUCAAGAGGUGAUUUCGAGAAUCAACCAACCGACAAAUAGCCCAGGUGACUCACAGCCUCCCCCUCGCCCAAAUGAAAUGGGAUGAAGAAAAGAAAGUAUAAGCUUUUUGAUUGAUUCAGGGCGCAGCGAAGCCAAAUUCAAUCAAGGCAAAGGGGGGCUUACUUUUCCUGACGCUGAGUCAUCCUAUUCAAAUUUAGCUAUGCUAAUGGAACAGGACAAGUUUUCAGAUGAUAUGGACCCCCAAGAGAUGAGCGAGAACCUCCAAUUGCUUAGGGGUCGCACUCUGUUCCCGCUUGGUGGACGAGAUCUUCUCCCCUUUUAGCUCCCACACACCCUUGCCCUCUUUCACCGAAGAGGAAAGAAGAAUCUUCCAAGCAGACAGAGAUCUAAAUUUCCAUUAGAUUCAUUCCUAAGCUUGCUGAUGAGUUGUUAAUUUAGAUUGUCCAUGCGCGAUACACACAUGCAAAUUUACUCAUGAAUGCAGUGCGUGUCGCGCAUGGACGACCAAAAUUUAACAGCCAUUGUUUCGCUCUAGCUGACAAUCCAUGGGGUACGCUGCCCUUGUUCCCUAAUCCUAUAUAUACAAAGGAAUUUGCUGAAUUGAUUUUCAUAUUCAUUAAUAAUUUAUGGAACUUUAAACGUGCAUUUCUUGCGACUUCGACAUCCAUGGGUCAAUUCAACAUCUAAAGAAGUGCAAAAUAGUGACAAUGGUUGUACGAGUUUUUUUUUUUUUUUUUUUUGUCAUAUGCAUACACAAAAUAUAUCUUCUUAAAAAAUCCUUAGUCAUUAAGCAAAAAAGUUGAGACAUUAUACUUUUGUGGCUUGUUAAUCUUCAUUUGGCAACCCAAAAGGAUUAGUCUAAUUGCUAAAGAAGGGAACUCUUUUUUUUCUUGCUAACUAUGGUUUAAUUCAUACGAGGAGCACUUCAAUAGAAAUCUUAAAUGCAUUAAGUCGAUAUCCCUUAAAAUUGUUCGAAAUGAAGACUUGACCGUAAACAAAAUUUAAGGAUACAUCUAAUCGUAUUAAAAAAAAAAAAAAGACAUUAUGACGUCUAAUGUUCACACAUUCUUUUCAUUUUCAGCAAGAGAAGAGACAAUUGAUUUAUUUAUUAUUUUUCUUCCUUGUAGAUAAGAAAUUCUUCUGCCAUCAAUCUUUAUUUUUCAUUUUCUUCGUUACUGAAAUGUUUAUAAUUUAUUUAUUAAUUAUGUUUUUUAAAGACAAUGCGGUUGUCAAUAAUGGUUUAGCUUGCUGUAAAGAGUAUUGAAUUUUUAAUUUUAGUAACAUAUAAUUUUAAAUAUGAAAUAUAUUUUUUCAUUUUAUGUCCUUAUAGGAACUUUGGGAAAGAAAAGUAUGCAUUUCUGAUUGAAAGUGUUAUACAAUUGACUCGCAUCAGGACAUUCACAUGGAGAAAGUGAGGCUUUGUAAUCUAAAGACAAAAAUUUAAAGCUUAAAGCAUGGGAAGAAAUCAACUUCGCAUUUCAAACACUUUGAUUUGUCAUGACAUCUGCAAUUGAUUUCACUGCCCAAUUAUGACGUGCAGUUAUUGCUUCGUCUUAUAGAAAUAAGAAAGGAUUAAAGGAAUAAAUAACAAUUUUUUAAAGUAAAUUUCAUUAAAAUUUUCAACAAAAGUUUAAAUUAAAAAUUGAAAUAUGUAAGUGAUAGAAUUCAAUAAAUAGAUUAUAUGCACAAGUUACGGGCCGAGACUUAAUUUUCAGACUUAUACAUCUUUAAAAUUCGAAUAUGCAUUCAUUCGACGUUAUACUCAAAUCUUAAAAUUGUGUAAAUCUGAAAGUUGAGUUUCGGCCUGCAAUAUUUACACAUACAAAAAAUAAUAAUUAUAUAUAAUUAACUCUUAAACAAAAACUUAAGAUGAGUUUCUCAAUGUUUAUAAACUUUGGAGUUCAUUCGAUUGCCAUUUCAUUUAAUUGUAUUAAUUAAUUAAUUAAAUUUAAAUUUAAAUUUUUAUUCAAUCAUUUUUAAUAAAAUAUUUUAUGAACUUUUUUUAAAGAACUUGACUCAUAUAAUUAAUAAUUAUAUAAAAACAUAAAAUUGUAAAUAUUUCGGAUGUUGUGUUAUUUUAUUAUUAUAUAUGAGAAUUGGACAAAUCUGAGAAUCUCGACUUAGGUAAAAAUGUUCAUUAAUUUAAGUACCCAUCUAGCUUAAUUAAUAAUUUAUAUUCUGAUUUCAGAAGAAUUAAUUAAAAUAACAGUUAUGAUUGUUAAUGGGUCAUCACUAACAUGAGCCUCAAGUGGCAUUUUCACUUUCAUCUUAUGAAUUUAUAAUGUGAUAUAAUAAAUAUUAUUUUAGUUUAAUUUUUCAUAAUUUUUAAUUUGAUUUUAUUUUAUUCUAAAUAUAUUAUUAAUUAAAAUAUAUUCAAAUGGACUUCAUUUUUUUUUAUUAUUAUUGUGUCUUUUAAGUUUUUUUCUCUUUUUGAUUUUCGUCAGUUUAAAAAAAAAAAAAAACCAAAGAAAAAGCGUGCACGAUUUGAAACUUUAAAGGAGGAAAUUUGAUCCCCUCAACAUGAGAUUGAUCCCAUGAAUCUUCAGCUUCCCUAAAACAAAUUUUCUUCGAUCAAGGGAUCAAUCCCUUGUUUCAGCAAAUCAACCGGUACCAAUCAAUUAUUGAAGAAAAUAACAGCUAGUUUUUUCUACCAAAUCAAUCAAAGGACUUUAAACUUUAAUCUAUUUUAAGGUUAAAAUUAUAUAAAAAAAAAAACCUUUGAACUUUAUAAUUUUAUUUAGAUAAGUUUUAUUACAUUUAAAUAAACCUUUGACAUUUAAUUUGCAUCCAAAUAAGCCUUUAACAUUUAGUUUAUAUUCAAAUAAACCUUUUACUUUUAAUUUACACCUAAAUACGAGUUUAACGUAAAUUAAUAUUUCAUUUGAAACAAUAGAUUAUUUCGAUAAAAUCAAAAUAUAAAUGCUCAUUUAAUUACAAUAAAAGUAUAAAGACUUAUUUUUUAAAAAAUGAAAUAAAUCAAGAGUUUUAUUUUUUUGUAAUAUUUUAGCUUUAUUUUAACUAUAAAAGAGGAAUGCUUAAUAUAUAAAUGACCUUUAAACUAUAAUGAAAUAUUUAAUGUGGUAUUUGUAAGAAAUUUCAAGCUCGAACCAUUGACAUUUUAUGUUAAGUUAUGUGCUUAAAUUUCAUAUAUUUCUUAUAUUGUUAAUUUUUCAUUCAUAUAACUGUUUGUUGGCCUUCCUACAUGAUAUCCUUGUAUGUUUACUUAUGAUGUUCAGGUCAUGAAAUAGGCUUUUGCUAUAUUAAAGAAACUAACAUUAGUAAUAUUUGAGGUAUCUCAUACAUGUAAAUAUAACAAAGAUUACUUCGUCUAUUGUAAAUUGAUUUUUGAUUUAAUGCUUAUCUUAAAAUUUGACACAAGGUUACAAUAGGUUAGCUUAAAUGCCCAUUCCAAAAUUUAUCAUGUUAAAAUUUAGGACAAGCAUUGAAUAAAAAUUAAUUGACAAUAAAUGAAAAAAAUCCUUGUUUUUGCAAGCAUAAGAUGCAUACUCAAACUUAACUGAUAUUGAAAAUUUUUUAUUAUCUAUUUAUUAAAAAAUUUAGAAUGUUGCUUGCCCAUCUCAGUAUCCUAUUUCUACUAUAUCUGAUAAUUUAAAAUUUUUUGUAAAAGUUAUAUUAUAGUUUAACAAAAAUAAAAAAAAUAUAUUUUAUAUUUUUUAUGUUGAUACGAAUUAUGAUAAAUAAUUUUUGUGUGAAACAAGAUAUUAAAACACAAAUUGCCAAAUCUAAUUCUACCAUCCCACACCAUGGUGCCAUGUUAGAAGAAAAGCUUACAUCGUUUUUUUUUCUUAUUUACUUGGGUUUUUAUUUAUUUUUAUUUUGAUUUCUCUGAAAAUUUUGCUUGUUUUCCAUUAAUAGUUGUAGACAUCUAAUUUUAUUCAGGUACAUUCUAACCAAUUAUGAUGCUUUCAAAAUCAGGUCUAGUUCAUAUCCAAUAUUAUUUUAAGAUUUACGAAUUUUUUUAAAUUAAAAUUUGGGUUAAGAUAGCCAAAAUGCCCUAUGAUCAAAUAUGGUCAAAUAAGGUCUAACUUUGUCAAACUUAGUUAAAUUUGGUAGAACUCAGGUCAACUCUUGAAAUUCACAAUUGAGUGGGACAAGACUUGAGAUUAAUAAAAUUAUGAUUUGGAUUCUUGAAAAUCUAGAUUACAGCUCAUAAGGAUAAAAUUACCAAAAUACACUUUAAAGGUAUUUUCAUGAGCUUUUAAAGUCAGUUUUUUGUAAAAGACUUUAGAUCAUGUGUUAUUAUUAUUCCAUGAAUUUUUAUGCAUUGAAAACCUUGUAUGGUAAAGUAUUGUAAAGUUUAAGAAGAAACCAUGUAUGUUGAAGGCAAGUGUCCAAAAAAAGAUUUUUAAUAGUUUUGAAUCCAUUUAAAGAAAAAAAUGAAAGUGAAAAAAUGAAAAAAUAAGACAAGGGAAAGAAAAUGGAAGAAAGUAGAAAAAAAUGAAAAGCAAAAAGGAAGGAAAAAAGAACAGAAAGAAAAAAAAAUGAUUGAUUGGAAAGUAUAAAAAAAUGAAAGGAUAAAUGCCCCAAAAUCAUUUCUUCGAAUGAGAAACAAUGAUCCUUAGUUUAAUCACCCUUAAACACUUAUUCAGGGCCUACCUAUCUUUUUAUUUGAAAACCUCGAACCUUGGCUUACAUUCAUCCUUAGAAAAAUUCAUAUUGGAUCAAGUAUAGAUGUUUAAAUUAAAGAGCUUCUCUUUGAGGAACAACCAUAAAACCUAUGAAUCAUUUUGUCUUUCUUCAUUACCUAAUUACCUGUUUAGAGUUUAAAUUCUUAAGUGUAUGGUGUAAUAAUCAAAAAGAAGGAAAAAAAAAAAAGAUAAAUGUUGCUCUAGGUUGAAAACCCUACAAAAAGACAAUCUAAAGCAAACCUUAAAGGCUUUAAAGUCACUCGUGAUACUAAUUGAGAUAUAUACUAACUAAAAGUAACCCAGACCCUUUUAAAAAUCCAAAAAUAUCAAGGUCCCAAAAGUUUAAAAUCCAUAAAAGAUAUUGAUUUUGAAAAUUUAAGCCUUUUUCUAUUCUAAAAUGACCUUUCAAAAUCUUAAGUUCCGUUUUGGCUAGCUAAGAUAUUUAUCAAAAUGCCACAUUUGAAGACUAAAAAAAAGUGUCACAAUUUUUUUGUUUUCAAAAAAUUCAUACUUUUUAGAUGAUCAUGUUUUCGUUUGUGAGCCUAGUGGGAAGAGUAUACAUUUAUUUUGUUUCUUUCAAGCUGUAAAGCUCUUUUGAAUGAAUCAAGCCCUUGAUAUGCUAAAUCGCCCAAUCUAUUUACAAAUGAAAUAAUUACCUUUUUCGAUUUUAGUAGGAAACACAAAUUUUUACAAGACUCUAAAGUAGCAUUUGUUCAAUUAUUUCAUUAUCUUUGGUUAUGAAAUUUAAUUAUGCGGGGUAAUUUGAAAAUUUUUUGAAUAACUAGUUAAGCACUUUUUGUAGUGAAUAAAGAAAUCAUUUAGACAAAUUUUGAUUUAAAAAAAAAUGUUUUCCUUUUGAAUAAUAAACAUUUUGAAGAAAAAAAUUAGAUUCUUUCAUGCACUCAAAGAGCAAGAGUAACAUAGUUGUUUGUCUUCUUACAUGAUGCAAGGCUUAAAAUUGAAAAUAAUUGUACACAUAGGGUAUGUUUGAAAAAAUAAAGGCUCAUUUAGUUAUAAUAAAAGUAUAAAGACUUAUUUUUUAAAAAAUGAAAUAAAUCAAGAGUUUUUUUUUUUUUUAUUGUUUUAGCUUUAUUUUAACUAUAAAAGAGGAAGGCUUAAUCAAUAAAUGGUCUUAAAUUAUAAUGAAAUAUUUAAUGUGAUAUUUGAAUUUAAAAAAUUUUUAAUAUAAUAUUUGAACAAUAAAUAUGUUAAUUAAUAUGAUACUCACCCCUAACGUAAUUAACUUCAAAUGAUUAUAUGUGAUGGGCAAACAAUUCUUGAAAUAACAUAUUAAUUAACAGUUAAUAAUAUCACAUUAGAGAUUUUUAAAAUUCAAAUAUUACAUAAAAUAUUUUAACAUAAUUAAAAAACUAUACAUAAUGUUAACUGUAAGAGGAAUUCUGACAUAUUUGUGAAGUAAGAGAAUAGGAAUAAAAAGCAAUAUUUUAAUUUUUAAAAAAUUAAAAAAUUUUGAACUUUAAUUCUUCUUCAUUUGUAUAAUAUUUUUAUCAUUCUCUUUCUUUAUACUUAAUUGGUAAACACUCAAUUUUUGGGAUGUCAAUUUACUUGCAAAACUAUUUGUAUCUUCUUGAGUUGAUUGUGAGCAAGUUGGCAAACAGAGCAAUCAAUUUUUAAUCGUGUCACUUGGUCAUUUCAUUUUCAAGAAAAUUCAGAUCAUUUUCAUAUGUGAAUCAUUUUGGAUUUAAGUUAUAUUAGGAUUGAUUUAAUUCAGGUUUAAGUCCAAUUUUAACAAACAAAAUUAAAUUAUUCAAAGUUACAUUUUUACCAACUUUUAGCAUAUUUUUAUUUUUUAAUUUUGAUGUAUAGUUUAAAAAAAAAGAAAAAAACUUUAUGGUGUAUAAUUGUACAAAUUUAAUUUAGUUAUAAUGGCAAAAAAAGAAUAUUUUUCAAUCUUUUCCAUUUAUAAUUGAAAAAGGAUACUUGUAUUUAAGAAAGAUAAUCUCCAAAGGUUUAUGAAAAUAUAUAAAAGAAAGAAUUUUAAAUGAUAAUUUUUUUAUUGAGCAAUAAAUGGUCCCUAAACUUUGUCCAAUAUAUUCUUUCCUUGAGUUAGGCCAAACAUGUUUACCUAUGUUAAUAAAUUCAUGAAAAAUUAUUUUUCUGUUAAUAGAUUCAAAAUUAAUUAGUAAAUUACUAAUUAUGUUAUACUUAUUAUUUUUAUUAGUUAAUAUUUUAAAAUAUAAAAAUGUAUUUAAUUUAAGUUAUUUGAGUCGUUUUUGAUUAAUUUUUUAGGUCAUUCAAGUUCAAAUCAAUUUAAAUUUAAAUUAAUUCAGGCUCGAAUAAUUUUUGGUUCAAAUUUUUUGAAUUUCAAUCGGUUUAAAAUUUUGUUAUUAACAUUUUUUAAUCAAAUAGGAUUGGGUCCAAUUGGAGUUUAGAAAGGUUUGACGAGUUUUUUGGGUUUGACAACUCUAAUUGUGUGUUGUAAAGCUUAUGUCUAAUCAUCAAAAAUGCAUUUGUAAUUUGUUUUGGGUACUAAUAUGCAUUUGUAAAUUUAUUGAUAUAGUGAAUUUGAUUUUUUUUUUUUUUAAGAAUAAAUUCAACUUCAUUAAUCAACUACUGGGAUAAUACAUUUGUUUUUGAUAACAUCAUCUAUGAUGGGAGGGAAAUCUUCCACCCAGUAAGCAUCCCUCUCUAAACCUAAAGCAAGCUUGGCUAGCUUAUGUGCUGCCUUGUUCAUCUGACACCUUACCUGAGUAACCUCAAAUGAUUGAAAAUCUUGUCUCAUCAUUCGUGCCUUAUCCAGGAUAUUGCCUACUGUGGACAGAUCCUUAGUUUGCUUUUUAAGUUUGGAGAUGACCUCAGCUGCAUCUCUUUCCAAUAUUAUCUCCGUGAAGCCUAGUUCCUUGGCAAAGAGAAUGCCAGCCACUAAGUAUGCUUUGAUCACCACAGCUUGUAUAAUUCCUGUUAUUCAUUUUGAAGUAGCCUCUAAGACUUCCUCUCUGUCAUUUCGUGCCACUAUCCCAAUACCUCCAAUUGCCUCUAUGAGAUGUAAGGCCCCAUCAAAAUUAAAUUUGAUAAUAUUGGUGGGUGGCACUUUCCAGAUUCUGGUGAUUUCCAGCUAUCUAUAUGUCUGGUCCUGUCUCCCUUUAACUUCAUACAGAUAGCGAAGAGCAAAAUUUAUAGUUUCUUGAGCAGUUCUGAGUACCUUAUUGUUUAUCAGCUCGUUUCUGCUAUGCCAGAUAACCCAGCAGAUCACAAGACCUUUUUCGAAACUUUCACUGGUCAUGGAGUUGGCUAAGCUAGAAAGCCAUCCUUUGUCUUCUGCAUAUAAGUUAGUCGUCCAACAUCUAUUCGCUUCAGCAAAGAGCAAUAUGUCCUUUGCUUUUUGACAAUCCCUUAAAGUGUGUAUCACCGUCUCUUCAUGGAUUCCACACCAAGGGUAGAUCUUGGUAUCGAUAUCACGCUUCUAUAAAUUACUCAAAACUGGUAAAAUACCAUAAUUUAGCCUAUUAGGAAUAAGACCCAAAUCCCAUAAAAGAUUUGAUUGAGAUUGGCUAGAUAUUAUUUUAUGGAUAAAAAGACUUACAAAAGAAGAAUUAUAUGAGGAAGAGGAUUCUUAAUAGAUAAGUUUGACUUGUAGAAGAAAAUUUCUAUGAAGAAAGGGAUUCUUAAUAGGCAAUUUUGUAUACUUAUAACUAGAUGGAGCAUCUCCAAAGUUAGGUAUGAGAAAAAAAUAUAAGAGAGUUGUAAGAUUUUAUGGGAUAGAUACCCCAUAGGAGUACUGGAGAUUUACAUCUUAUGGGUGUGUAUGUUUGUGAGUGGACUAAAUGAGACUAAAAGAGUCCACAUAGGUAUGGUACAUGAGAGUAGACUAGAGGUGAUUGAGAGGGUCUACAUGGGUAUAAUGAAUGGGUAUAUAUGGGUAUGUGUUUGUUUGUGUUGAAAGGGUGCACAUGGAUAUGUGUUUGUUUGGGUUAAGAAUACUCUAUAGAACUAGAAGAGAUUAAAAGAGUCUAUAGGUAUUGACUGUUGAGUAGUUGAUAUGUUUUGAUGUAUGUUUGUAAUUCUCUACAACUAGUGGAUCUUGUUUCUCAUCCGUAGGCGUAAGUCAGUUGGACUGAAUCACUUUAAAUUGUUGUUUCUUGUAUGUUUGAUUCAUUAUUUGAUUUUGCUUUUACUAGUGUGAUUGGAUUGAGGCCUUUUGGCCUAACAAGUGGUAUCAGGCUGUGGUGAUUCCCAACAAGUGAUGUCAGAGCUAUAGUGAUUCCUAACAAGUGGUAUCAUAGCAUAGUUUGAUACAUGAGAAGAGGCAAGCUUAGAGGAACUCAAUUCAAUAAAAGAGUUUGAGUUCAAGUUUUAAAGAUUGAGGAUUGAUUUGCAUAAAACGUAAAGGCAUACAAGAAAAAAUUAUUAUGAGACUUCCAUUACAAGUGAAGCUAAGCAUGUCUCGUAUGAAGAUAGAUGAUUUGAUGAAAUUUAAGUCAAGAUGAAGAUUGUUAGGAAUAAUGACUUAAAUCCAAUAAAAGAUUUGAUUGGGAUUGGCUUGACAUUGCUUGAUGGAUAAGAAGAUUUAUAGAAGAAUAAUUCUAGGAGGAACAUGAUUCUUAAUAGGCAAGUUCGGCUUACAGAAGAAUAAUUUUAGGAGGAAAGAGAUUUUUAAUAGAUAAGUUUAUAAGCUUAUAAAUAGAUAGAGUCUCUCCAAGGUUAGGUAUGAGAAAAAGAUGUAAGAAACUUACAAGAUUUUUGGAGAUAGAUAUCCCAUAAGAGUAUUGAAGAUUUACAUCUUAUAGGUAUGUAUGUUUGUGAGUGGACUACAAGAGAUUGAGAAGGUCCAUAUAGUUAUGGUAUAUAAGAGUGGACUAGAAGCGAUUGAGAAGGUCUACAUAGGUAUGAUGGAUAGAUACAUAUGGGUAUGUGUUUAUUUGUGUUGAAAAAGUGCACAUAGGUAUAGAUUUAUUUAGGUUGAGAAUACUCCAUAGGACUAAAAGAGAUUGAGAGGGUCUAUGGGUAUUAACUAUUGAGUAGUUGAUAUGUUUUAAUGUAUAUUUGUAAUUCUCUAUAACUAAUGGAUUUUAUUUCUUGUCCGUGGACAUAGGUCAGUUGGACCGAACCAAAUUAAAUUGUUGUCUCAUGUAUUUGAUCAUUAUUUGAUUUCGCUUCUUUUGGUGUGAUUAGAUUGAGGCAUUUUAGCCUAACAAGUGAUAUCAGAGCUGUGGUGAUUCUCAACAAGUGAUGUUAGAGCUAUAGUGAUUCUUAACAUAGCCUCCAUGCAAAAACAUUAAUUUUCGAUGGUAUUUUCAUUUUCUAAAUUUUGCUCCAAUUUUUCCAUCAUUUGCAUCCUGUGCACUAUCUGCAUGAGGUUUCUGUGUUUGGGCCCUCCCCUAUUUUUGCAUAACAGCAUGGUAAGCACUCUUGAUACUAUAUUCUUUUGUACAUUCCCAGUUUUAUACCAAAUCAUCUGUGUUCAAAGUAGCCUAGUGGAAUGCUAUAGAUUAGUUUAGCAAUAUCUUUAUAAAAUGUUUGUUGGAUCAACUACCUCUUCGAUAGCCUACUUUGCCUCUCUAUUAAAUCCUCUAAAAAUGCAUCUUAUGAUAGUAUAUCUUGUUAAAAUGAGUAUGUUAAUACUUGGUCAUUAGGCAGCCACCUAUCAUGCCAAAUUUGAAUUUUCGCACCAUUCCCAACUCUCUAUCUUAAUCCAUCUUGAAAUGUUUCUCUGGCAGUCCAAAUACUUAUCCAUGUGAGAGAAGGUCGAGACCUCAAAAGUGCUUCUAAGAAAUCUACCUCGAGAAAUAUUUCACUUUUAAUACUUUAUAAACCAUUGACUUUUAUUCUUAAAUAGCUUCCUACCUUGCUUUCCCAAAAGGACUAAGUUGAAACACUCAAAAUUUUCGAAAACCCAUGCCUUAUUCAUUCUUGGAUCAGCAAACCUUAGUCCACUUUAGCUAGUAUAACCCCUUCUUAUCUUUCUUUGAGCUCCACCAAUAAGUGCUUAUAAUGCUAUUAGCUUUUUCACAAAAGCUUUCUGGAAGGAGAAAGCAAUUCAUUGCAUAUAUUGGCAUAGCCUAUAAUAUAGACUUAAUAAAUUAUUCUUUCCCUCCUUACGAGAGACACAUCUUGCUCCAAUGUCAAAUCUAUAUCUUUAGCCUAUUGAUUAGUUCCCUGAAAGAUCUUUUUUUUGUUUUUUUUAAUCAUCGAAGGAAACAUCUGAUUAUUUUUUAGUCCCGUAUAAUGUUGCGUAAGUUAUAUUCAUACAAAUAAUUAUUUCAACCUUAUCCGAAUUUGAGAUGAUGCCUAAUUUGAGUAUAUCAUUCUUAUAAUUUUGUAGUCAUCAUUGGCAGCUUAUUAUGAUUGAUAGCAAUUCCUUUACGUCAUACUUAUUUAAUUUCGCUCAACCAAUGGUAAAGCCUAAACCCAAUAUUCAUAAUUUUAUAAAGAGAUAUUACAUAUUAUUAUAUUAUCUUUUGUUUUCUCAUAAUUAUUUUUUUUGUAUUAAGUACUUCUUUCCUAUUCAAUUUAGGGGAAUAUCUACAAUUGAUAAAAAAGCAAAGAUAAAUUGGAUGUCAUUACUGGUAAAUGUGAAAUUUAUUUUUUUAUAUUGAGUUUGUUUAGAUAAAUAUUUUCUAAACCCAUUAAAUUUAUUUUUUAAGUACCUCGUUAAUUAGGAUAUACUGAAUGUGGAUAUUAUGUUAUUCGUUUUAUGAGGGAGAGUUAGUAUUAAUUUAUGACCACAUCAUUCAAGGUUAGUAUUAAUUUCAUAUAAUCGUAAUAUCUUUAAAAAAAAUAAAUUAUGUUCCCGUUUAUUAAUAUUUACUUUUGAUUUUUUUUAUAAUUGGAGAGUAAAAAAAGCUUCACGAAAGAUGAACUUGAAUAAAUUUGUAAAUAGUGGUAUGAAUAUGUGUUAUCGUUCACUACACCUUCAGGUUAGAGAUUGUUGGUUGGGUGUAAAUAUAUGCAUUUCAUUUUUUAUAAUAUUUUUAAUAUGCCAUGUUGAAUGGAUAAUUUAGUUUCUAGAUUGGGAUAUUGGUUUAAUAUUAUUAGUGUCAUAAUGUCUAGAUCCGGGGAUCUAUCGCUAGACAUUGACUUGAAAAAGUCACCACCAAUCUUUUUUAUCUAGGUGCGAUUGGUCACCUAAAGAAUCUUUCUUUUUAAGGAACACUUAAGUUUAAGGGUUCCUAAAACAAUAGGUUCAAGUCUAUUAACCAGAACAGGGUUCGGGAGUUCGAUUACGUGUGAAGAAGGUUAUAACACCCUCAUAACGCCCAUCAAAAGAUGGUACCGGCAUAAUUUUGUGUUAUUCAAUAAGCCUUAAAAUUUUACCAAGUAAUUAACUAUUGAAAAUUAUUCUCAAUUGACUCUAAUACUUUUAGCAAAAAAUUGAAAAAAUUUCCUCUCCUCAAGAGUAUGCAAGAAAACUACUGUUUCACUUAUAGAGGCUCCAUUAUCGGAUUAUUUAAAAAAAAAAAAAAGAAAAAAAUGACUGCUUUUAUGCAGGAAAAAUUGAUACUUUCAACUUUUCCUCAAAAAAACCUUUUUUGAAAAUUUAUUCUUAAGAAAAAUUGAUACUUUCAACUUUUCUCUAAAAUAUUUUUUUUUUGAAAUUUUUAAUUUUGAGAAAAAUUGAUACUUUCAACUUUUCCUAAAAAAAAAAACUUUUUUUGAAAAUUUAUCCUUAAGGAAAAUUGAUACUUUCAACUUUUCCUAAAAAAUAUAUAUAUUUUCAUUUUAUUUAAAAAAUGAAAAAAAAUAAAAGAAUAAAAAAUGAAAAUAAAUAAAAAUAGAAAAAAAUUAAACAAUCUCAAUAUAAUAAUAAUAAAUAAAUAAAAUAAUUAAAAAAAUUAAAAAAUGAAAAAAAAACCUGGGAACAGCUCGGCUUGCGGCUCGGUUCAGCUCGGCUCAAGGAAGAAAAACUUCUCGGAGAUGCGACUCCGGGUGUUGGCUCGGCUCGACUAACGGCUCGAAAAGGCGGGUCACGUGCUGGUCAAAAGCGAGUCGACGCUCAGGUCGGGUCGGAUCUCAGCAAAAUACGCGGAUCCUCUGGGUUACUUAACGUAGAAAAGGCGUUGUUUUGGGAGGGUAUAUAAGGCUGAUUCCUUCGUUUCUUCAACAGACUGAGCCUCCCCUCUCUCUCUCUUCCUUCCUUUUCUCUCCCUUCUCUCUAAAAUUCCUGAAGAACUUCAGUUGAAUAUCACCGGAUUCUAAAAAAUUCAUCCGAAUAUGGGUUUUAGUCGAAACUUCACCAGAAAGUUAGUCGAUUUCUGAAAAUCCUCAUCGAAAACUGGGCAGCUGGUCGAAAACUUCAAACUUGGUCGGAAUACUUAUCGAAAAAUUUAACCUCAUCGAAAAAUUCAACUGAAAUUUAGAAAUUUUCCAAAAAUUUCCCAAAAAAAAUACAAAAAAAAAAUCUCCAAAAGUUUCCCAUCGAUUCCUAAAGCUAUUCUAACGCCUCUAAACCCUUUUUCAUCUUUCAAAUCUCUUCUAUCUGCCUUUUUCUCUCAGUUAGUAACUUUUUUCUGUCCCUUUUCCUUUGAUCCGAGGGUCCUUUUAUAGGGAUUGAUUAGAAGAGUUUCUGAUCAAUCCCAACUCCUCUUUGGAUUGGGAUUCAAUUAUUGAAUCCAAUAUGGACUCUAAUUAAACCCCAAUCACGGUAGAAUUCUCUAAAUUUCAGCCAAAAAAGAAAAAACAAAAUAAAAAAUAUUAAUAGAUAAUUUAAAAAAAUAAUCAAAUAAAUAAUAAUAUUAACAGAUAACUAAAAAUAAAUACUAGAUAAAUUAUAAUAUAUAAUCAGAUAAAUAUAUAUAUAAAUAUUAACAAAAAAGAAAGAAAAAAAAUAGUAAUUAUAAUAAUAAGGAUAUAUAUAUUAAAUAGUAAUAAUAAAUAAAUAAUAAGUAUAUAAGAUAAAAAUAAAAGAAAUAUAUAUAUAUAAUAAUAAUAAAAUACAAAUUAAAAAAAAAUGGGCUUACCCAUUUGGACCAGGCCUAAUUGAUCUGGGCCUAGACCAAAUUGGGUGUCUACAGUUACCCCUCUUUGAACAUUUUCUGUGAAACAGAAAUUACGCAAAGACGUAGACACCCAAUCAAGACUCAACUCAAUCAUUUUUAUUUUUUAAGAUUUGAUCAAACUUCUCUAAGCAGAGGUUCAAUGACUUCGAAAAACAUAAACAAAGCUCUCUAAUCAGAGGUCACGACUUUGAAAUGAAUAAAGCUCCUCUAUUCAGAGCUCAACGAUUUUGAAAAUAAAUAAGUCUCUAAUCAGAGGUCAACGAUUUGGAUAUAAGCAAUAGAGCUCAUGACUUUAACAAAGUUCGACAAGUAUUUUUUGCUUUUUUUAGUUUUAUUGUUUUUUUGUUUUUUUUUGUUUUGCUUCUUUUAAUUUAAUCAAAGCUUCUUUAAGCAAAGGCUCACGACUUAUAAAAAUUAAAGCUCAUCUAAUUAGGACUCAACGACUUUGAAAAAGUAAAUGGCUUCUAAUGAGGCUCAUACAAUUUGAAAAGUAAAUGGCUCCUCUAAUCAGAGGCUCAACGACUUUGAAAAAGUAAAUGGCUCCUCUAAUCAGAGGCUCAACAACUUUGGAAAAUAAAUGGCUCCUCUAAUCAGAGGGCUCAACGACUUUAGAAAAUAAAUGGCUCCUUGAUAAUCAUGUCCAGAGGAGUUGAAAAUCGUGUUUGAAGGAAUUUCAGGAGAUUAUGCCCAAUGGUCUUAUAAAUCAACCCUGAUACUAAAAGACAUCCUAUUUCAAGGAUUAGAAACUUACCUGACAAGUUUCUUCUCAAAUUUAAAAAUAUCUUCACAUCUGUCUUCUUUAUGUGAGAUAUUGAAACACCUUACUUCUUGAAUUUAUACACUAUACUUUCUUGAAAGUAGUAUAUGCUAUGCAAUGCAUAUGAAUUUCAAUGCAUGCUAUGCAAAUGUUGGCCAAUUAAUUCCUAUUUAAUGUAUGGUACUCAAGUUUCUCAAGCUCUUUUCUUGGGCAUCAAGCCCUUUUGAUUCUUCAAAGAUCCAAUUACACUAUUCUUCUAAGACGAGCUAGUGUAGCUCCCAAUCAUCUCUUCCACUCACAUUCUUUUUGUAAGCAAUCUUUUUCCAAAUUCAAUGUCCUUAUCAAGAACUGAACAUCUCAAUCCUGCCUUUAUCACUCUUGACUUAUUCAAUGUAAUACAAAAAUAUUUCAUGCCAUUAUUCAUUCAUCAAUCAUUAUUUCAAACUCAAAAAGUAAGAAUACAUUUGCACAUUUCUUCUAUUGUAGGGUAUUAAGAAGAAAAAAAUAAGAAUGAUUGAGAAACAGUCACCAGAAACAGAUACAAAUAGUGAAAUAGAAUGUCUCUUAUUAGCAAAAUGUUGGCUAAUUUCGGUCAAGGAAGAAUUACAAGGAUAAGUAUGGGGACAAAGCCCAAAAUAAACAAUCAGAUAAUCAUGAUAACACAUCUCAAGAUUUUUUCUAAAAACCCAACCCUUUGAUGUAUUUAACAACUUGGAACUCUUUCAAAUUUGCUAGUCUCUAUGUCAGUGACUUUCAAAUUCGAUGCUGUAUUCUCCUUAUCUAAGCUGCUUUUUCAGGUUUUUAACUUAGACAAACCCCCUUAUGACUCAAACGCCCUUUUAGGGUUUUCGCCCUGAUGACUCUUUUUUCAUUCACUUUUUUUUCUUUUUUCAUUUUUUUUUCAUUUUUAUUUUUUUUUAUUUUCAUUAUUUUCUUUUUUUUAAGCAUAGUAUUUCUUCACAGCAUCAGAAUUUAUAAGAUAGGAUAAAUCAUUUUCAUCCAUCUCAAUCAGUAUCAGCGCUCCAUCCGAAAAAGCUCAUUUCACCACAUACGGUCAUUCCCAAUUCAGAGUCCAUUUUCUUUUACUAUCGUGUUGAAUUGAGAGGAUUCUCUUCAAGAUCAACUCUCCUUUUCGAAAGUAACGGGACCGAAUCUUCUUAUCAUGAGCUCUCAUCAUUCUUCUUUGAUAUAACUGACCAUGGCACAAUGCAGUCAAUCUCUUUUCUUCUAUGAAAUUUAACUAUUCAUAGCGUUCUCAAAUCCAUUCAGCUUCUUUCAACUCAACUUCUUUUAGAACCCUCAAAAAAGGGAUCUCUACUUUCACUGGUAGUACAACUUUCAUCUCAUAAACUAAAAAAAAUGAGGUUACCCAAGUAGAGGUGUGAACUGACGUCCGAUAUGCAUGUAAUGCAAAUGGAAACUUCUCAUGCCAAUCUUUAUAAGUCUCGAUCAUUUUCUCCAAAAUCUUUUUAUGUUCUUAUUGGCUGCCUCAACUACCCCAUUCAUUUUUGGAAGGUAUGGUGUCGAGUUAUGAUGCUUGAUCUUGUAUUGAGCACAUAUUUUUUGUAUCAUUUUACUAUUUAAAUUUUUGACAUUAUCUGAAAUAAUUCUCUUCGAAAGCCUAUAUUUACAAAUGAUCUCUCUUUUUAUAAACUUGUAAACCACAGAUCGUAUCACAUUCGCAUAUGACACUGCCUCUACCCAUUUUGUGAAGUAAUCUAUCAUCACAAAAAUGAAUCUGUGCCCGUUAGAAGCCUUUGGGGUGAUUGGACCAAUGACAUCCAUGCCCCACAUUGAGAAUGGCCAUGGUGGUGCCAUAACAUGUAAAACAGAUGGCGAAGUAUGGAUCUUAUCAGUAUAUAUCUGGCAUUUAUGGUAUUUACAAGCAUAGUCAAUACAAUCAUUCUCCAUCGUCAACCAGUAAUAUCCUACACUCAUGAUUUGUCUCGCCAUUAUAUGUCCACUGGUAUGUACCUCACAUAUUCCAUCAUGCACCUCUUUAAUGAUUUUUCUUGCUUCAGUCUUACUUACACACCUCAAUAAUACUUGAUCCCGACUUCUUUUGUAUAGAACAUCCCCAUCUAGGAAAAAGCUCAUAACCAAUCUUUGGAUGACCCUUUUAUCAUUUUUUGUUGCUUGAACUGGGUACUGUUGAUCCUUAAUAUACUGUAGGAUGUCAUAAUACUAGGGUUUUCCAUCUCCUUCUUCUUUUACAUUAGAGCAAUAAGCCGGUAUAUCCUUAACAUCUAGCUUGAUGGGUUGAAUGUCAAUAUUGUCAUUAAUUCGAAUCAUUACAGCCAGAGUAGCCAAUGCAUCUGCAAUCAAAUUUUCUUCUCGGAGUAAAUGGUCAAACUGGAUAUCUUCAAAUUGUUUCAUCAACUCUAGAAUGUGCUUAUGAUAUGGAACAAGUUUUGAAUCUCUUGUCUCUCAUUCUCCUUUCAAUUGAUAUAUAACUAAAGUUGAGUUUUCGAACACUUUUAAUGCUUUCACUCUUCUAUCUAUAGCAGCUUGUAAGCCCAUGACACAUGCCUCAUAUUCAGCAAUAUUAUUUGUGCAGUUAAAAUUUAACCUUGCUGUUACAUGACAGUAUUGUUCUUUUGGAGAGAUCAAAAUUAUCUCAAUUUCAUGACCCAAAGCAUUGGCAGCUCCAUCAAAAUACAUUCUUUAACAUUUUUCUUCAUGCUCCCCUUUUCCAAUUGAGAAAUAAUCAUUAGAUCUUUAUCAAAAAAUUUUAACUUUAUUGGCUCAUACUUUUUAGUAGCAUGAUCAGCAAGAAACUCUGCUAUAACACCCCAUUUUAUUAUUUUUGGCUCACAUAUAUAAUAUCAUAUUUCGAGAGCAUUACUUGCCAUCUAGCAAUUCUUCCAGACAAAGAAAGCUUCUCGAAGAUAUAUUUAAUUGGAUCCAAUUUUGUUAUGAGUCAUGUGAUAUGAUAAAGCAUAUACUGUCUGAAUCUUUUAGUAGUCCAUGCUAAUGCACAACACAUCUUCUAUAAUGAGGAAUACUUGAAUUCAUAUUCUGUGAACUUUUUACUCAGAUAAUAAAUAGCUUUCUCUUUUCGGCUAAACUCAUCUUGUUACCCCAGCACACAAUCUAUUGAAUUUUCACAUACUGUUAAGUAUAAAAUUAAAGAUUUUCCUGGAACAGGUGGCACCAACACUGGAGGGUUCGACAAGUAUUGCUUAAUUUUAUCAAACGCCUCUUGACAUUCCUCAUUCCAUUUUUCAGGAUUAUUUUUACGAAGAAGCUUAAAUAUGGGAUCACAUUUGUAAGUAAGCUGAGAGAUAAACCAAAAAAUGUAAUUCAAUCUUUCUAGAAAACUUCAAACUUCUUUUGGUGUGCUGAAAGGUGACAAAUUCUGAAUGGCCCGUAUCUUAUCUGGAUCGACUUCAAUUCCUCUUUCACUGACCACAAAGCCCAAUAACUUCCUUGACUUUACUUCAAAAGUGCACUUGGUUGGGUUUAAUUUGAGCUGGAAUCUUCUCAACCUCUCAAAUAACUUUUUGAGGCUGGUGACAUGAUCUUCAUCCUUAUAAGACUUUACAAUUAUAUCAUCUACAUAUACCUCUAUCUCUUUGUGCAUCAUGUCAUGAAAAAGUGUUAUCAUGACCCUUUGAUAUGCUUGCCCUAGUAUUCUUUAACCCAAAAGGCAUGACCUUGUAACAAAAAGUUCCCCACAUAGUUACGAAAGUAAUCUUUUUCAUAUCAUCUGUAGUCAUUUUAUCUGAUUAUACCCUAAAAAACCAUCCAUAAAAGAGAAAAUUGAAUGCCUAGCUAUGUUAUCUACUAGUGUGUCGAUAUGAGGUAAAGGAAAGUUAUCUUUUGGACUAGCCUUAUUCAAAUCACGAUAGUCUACACAUAUUCGUACCUUUUCAUCUUUUUUAAAAAUUGGUACUAUAUUGGCUACCCACUCUGGAUACUUAGCCACUUAUAAGAAACCUGCAUCAAAUUAUUUUUUCACCUCUUUUUGAUCUUUAGUAGCAUUUCAGGCUUCAUCCGUCUCAGUUUCUAUUGAACUGGCUUACAUUCUGGCUUUAAGGGUAAUUUAUGCUCCACUAUCUCCGUGCUUAGCCCUGACAUAUCCUGGUAAGACCAAGCAAAUACAUCUACGAAUUCUCGAAGUAAGUCUGCCAAUCAUUGUCUAUCUCUUGAUUAAAGUGAAGUGCCCAUUCUAACCUCUUUCUUAUUCUCUUCAUCUCUCAAAUUCACUAAGUCAACUAUCUCUGAGAGNNNNNNNNNNNNNNNNNNNNNNNNNNNNNNNNNNNNNNNNNNNNNNNNNNNNNNNNNNNNNNNNNNNNNNNNNNNNNNNNNNNNNNNNNNNNNNNNNNNNNNNNNNNNNNNNNNNNNNNNNNNNNNNNNNNNNNNNNNNNNNNNNNNNNNNNNNNNNNNNNNNNNNNNNNNNNNNNNNNNNNNNNNNNNNNNNNNNNNNNNNNNNNNNNNNNNNNNNNNNNNNNNNNNNNNNNNNNNNNNNNNNNNNNNNNNNNNNNNNNNNNNNNNNNNNNNNNNNNNNNNNNNNNNNNNNNNNNNNNNNNNNNNNNNNNNNNNNNNNNNNNNNNNNNNNNNNNNNNNNNNNNNNNNNNNNNNNNNNNNNNNNNNNNNNNNNNNNNNNNNNNNNNNNNNNNNNNNNNNNNNNNNNNNNNNNNNNNNNNNNNNNNNNNNNNNNNNNNNNNNNNNNNNNNNNNNNNNNNNNNNNNNNNNNNNNNNNNNNNNNNNNNNNNNNNNNNNNNNNNNNNNNNNNNNNNNNNNNNNNNNNNNNNNNNNNNNNNNNNNNNNNNNNNNNNNNNNNNNNNNNNNNNNNNNNNNNNNNNNNNNNNNNNNNNNNNNNNNNNNNNNNNNNNNNNNNNNNNNNNNNNNNNNNNNNNNNNNNNNNNNNNNNNNNNNNNNNNNNNNNNNNNNNNNNNNNNNNNNNNNNNNNNNNNNNNNNNNNNNNNNNNNNNNNNNNNNNNNNNNNNNNNNNNNNNNNNNNNNNNNNNNNNNNNNNNNNNNNNNNNNNNNNNNNNNNNNNNNNNNNNNNNNNNNNNNNNNNNNNNNNNNNNNNNNNNNNNNNNNNNNNNNNNNNNNNNNNNNNNNNNNNNNNNNNNNNNNNNNNNNNNNNNNNNNNNNNNNNNNNNNNNNNNNNNNNNNNNNNNNNNNNNNNNNNNNNNNNNNNNNNNNNNNNNNNNNNNNNNNNNNNNNNNNNNNNNNNNNNNNNNNNNNNNNNNNNNNNNNNNNNNNNNNNNNNNNNNNNNNNUAUGAAUAAAUAUUUUUGAGCUUAUACUUACUAUUAUUAUAACUGUCAGUAUGUAACAUGUUUAUAUUGACAGAUAUUUAUAUACCGUCAGAAGAAGUUUACCUAUAUUGACGGAUUUCUAAAGUGUUAGUGUAGGCAUUACCUAUACUGACAGUAACUAAAAAUUCGUUAGUAUAAAUACUUUUUACUUACAUAAUUUGAUCAUAAGUAUAUAUAAGUGUCAAUAUAUAACAUACUUAUACUGACAGAUAGUUAUAUACCAUUAAAAAAAGUUUAUCUAUAUCGACAAUUAUAUAAAAUGUUAGUAAAGGUGUGGUAUCUUUUGACAAUAUUAAAAAACUAUCAGUAAAAAUCUCUUUUAUUGACACAAUUUGACCAUCGGUAUAACUAAGCAUCAAUAUAUAAAAAAAUUUUGUAGUGAUUUUUUUAUGUUUAUAUGGCAUUGUACUAAUUAAUACAUAGCCUUUUCAUUUGUGAUUAGUUUUUAUUAAAGGCAUUUAGCAAUACUUGAUACUAUAAGUGGCCAUAUGUCAUUUAUCUUUUCAUUAGUGUUGUAAGAGCAAAUCCCUUUGUUAUAGAAGUGGCACCACUUUCACUAUAUAGGUGAAUUCAAUCAUAAAUGCUCUUGUAUAUAACAAUUCAAUAAAUUUAUUUACAUGUUAUGGGUUCAUUGAAAGCAUUAACUUAACCUUUCUCCCUAAUCAUAAGAGUUCAAGCACUUAACGUACUUGGGAUGUACAAUAUUUAGUAAUGUUUGUAGUUACAUUCAAAUGAUGUACUUGGAAUCCUUAAAACGUAAGACUUAGGAUCCAUUUGGUAGCCAUGAAAAUGUUUUCUAGAAGUCAUUUUCCAUGUUUUCCUAUGUUUAGAGUGGCAAAAAUAUUAUGGUAAAUAGAAAAUAUUUUCAAGUCAACAAAAAAUUAAAGCAAAACAUGUGAAAAUUGGCUUUCAUUUGUCUCCAAUGGAAGACAACUUCCACAAGUUUUCUCCUAACAAGCCCACUAAUCUCCAUCAAACUUUUAACUCUUUCAUAAUCACAAGUCAUCAUAUUUUUCACUUUUUUUAAUUCUUCUAUUUCAUUUGCUUUAGCAACUAUCUUUCUUUUUUUUUUUCAUGGGACUUAGGUAAGCACUGAAGAAUUAUUAAUUGUGUUAGCUUUUUUUCUUUUGCCAAAGCUUUGUCUCAGCUUCAAAUUUUCACUUUUGUUUCAUCUCCUCCGAAAAACCCACAAGCAUAUCCAAAUUCUUAUCUCUUUCCUUUGAAUUCUUUCGUAUCUUUUUUUUUUUUUUUUUCACAACCACCACCCCAAAGAUCUCCCAUAAUUUAUCAUCAUUUUCUUUUGUUUUAUAAUCUUUCUUUAAUUAUCCACAAAUAAUUCUUGUACUUUGAAAACCAAAAAACCACAAAAGUCUUUAGCCAAAGUCUAUUACCCACAAGAAAAAAACCUUCAAAUCCAAUGAUUUUGAUGGUUUUUAUCUAUUUGAAAUGGGUAUUUAUGAAUUUUUAUGAGUUUCUAAAAUUUUUAUGAAUAUGGAUGUGGUUGACUUUUGAGUUGAUGAAUUGUUCUUGUUAAAAUCAUGAAAAGCUUUUAUGAAAUAUUAUAAUCAAACUAUGGAAUAUUUAUGAAAAAUGUUAAAAUCAUAAAAAAAAAUUUCAUGAAUGCUAAUGGAAUAUAUUUUUGGUUAUUUUCAUCCAAAUAGCGGAAGAUAGUUAAAAUAAAAUUCUUCAAACAAUAAAAAAUAUUGUUUUCUAAAAAAAGAAUUUUCAUGGAAAAUAUUUUACUUCUGGAAGUUAUGUUUAGGUUACCAAACGAAGUCUUAACAUCUUACGAUUUUAUCUUCUAAAAAACGUCUCAUAAGCUAAAAAUGAUGUGAACAUUUAUACGGUAGGUCAAACUCUGGCACAUAUUCAAUGUGAGAUUCAUGGCUCCCUUCUUGGGAUUGUGGCAUCAUGUUCCACUACAACAAGGCUUUGUUAUCUUGAAUGACAUAUCGUUAAUAUCUUCAAAGCUGGCUUUGAUACCUAAUGCAAAGGUUCAUACCAACCUAUAAAGUAUUAUCUGCUUUAUCUAUUAGACAUCACUAAUCAACAGCUUGAGAAAAUACUAUACAAAGGUGUUCUAUUCGUAUACAAAAGAUUUUCACUAUACAAGGAAAAAAAUACCAUAUGAUAAUCAUAAUCGUAUUAUAAUCCUAGAUAUUAUUCUAAUUAUAAGAUUAUAAUCCCUAACACUAUGUUUAACUAAAUAAUUACAUAAUAUUAUUGAUCAUUACAUUAACACUCCUUCAAACUCAAUGUGGUAUUAUAUAUGCCAGCUUGAGUUUGUUAAUUAAUUCUUCAAAAUAACCAAGAAAAUAUUUUUUAGUAAAAAAAAUCAACAGUUUGAUUUGUAGAAGAUACAAAAGUCACUAUAAGAAAUAGUAUUUUUAGUGGAAUAAACAUUGUCACUAAAAGUGUAAAAUUUAGCCACUCAAAUUUAUAGUGACCAAUUUUAAAGUCGUCACUUGUUAUUACAAAUAACUCUGUAACUAUUGUAUUAGUGAAUGGGCUUAAGCUAGAAUGUAUUUUCUAGAAAUUUGUGAAGAGAUCAAAGAAUUUGUUAAGUGAUCUAACCUUUAUAGUUAGUUAUUAUGUAAUUUUUUUAUGAUUUAUAUUUUUUUUCUAAAUAUCUAAAUGUAUUUUAUUUCUUAUAAAAUGUGAAGCAUGCAUAAGGAAAAACUCAAGAGAGAGAAUCCUUAAAAUGUAGAGCAAAGACACAAAAGAAUUUCAUCAAUUGUUUAAGAUUAUUGAGCUUCUAAUGAGAUUAAUGUCUUAUAUUUUCAAUUUCUUUGGUCGAGCUGAACUUGGAUGUAAAGGUUGCUCAUGUAUUUGUACAAUUCUUAUUUUAUAAAAAAAGGCAAAAAAAAAAAAUGGGCAACUAUAAAUAUUAUAUUUUGUCUAAAAUUUUCAUAAUUUUUUUAGACAAUUUCAACCCAACUGAGUUUAAUUUUUUCCCAUUGCUUUUAUGGGUUUUGAAUUUGGGAUAAUUCAAUAUUAAAUUAAAGUUGGUUUUUGAAACUGCCGAAUUCAAUUUGAAAUCAAUUGGGCUUUUAGGUCUUUAAAUAUUUAAUUAAGCCUCCAGAUUUUUAUGAGAUUUUUUUAGUUUUUUUAUUUUCGGAUUUUGAAAAUUAUAAAUUGGACCUUUGCUUUGUAAUUGGGGCUUUUAAAUUAGUCUAACUAGAUUUUUAAUUUCAUAUGGGCUUUGGACCCAAUAAGAACACCGAAUUGUCCAAAAUUAUUUUUUUUUCCUUUCUUCAAACUUUCGCCUUUUUCUUUUUUUCCCUAUUUCUUUUAUUUUAUUUUCAAUAAAUUUUGAAGAUUUAAAAAAUAAAAAAUAAGUAAAACAAAAAAAAAAAAUAGAAAAUCUAAAGAGAGGUAAGAUUCUGAUUCAAAUGUUUUUGAAAAGCUUGAAUUUGAGAAUAAAGGAAAAUAGAAAUCAUUGAAAUUUUUUUUUAAAUACUUGGGCCUCUAAAACAAAAUAAAAGGAAAAAAAAAUCAGAUUAGAUCUCGUUCAUUCAAUGAAAAUCCAUGAUCUUUAACAAAAUAUCCCUUUAUAGUCAGAUAACAUAUAAUAAUUAGGGAAGCCAAUUAAAACAAUAAUCAAAAGCAAAUACACAACAAUGCACUAUAGCAUCCAGAGCCAUAAAAAAAAAAAGGUUCGUGAAAGAAAUUUUUGUGGCUGUGUUUUUUAGGGGUUCUGGGUUUAGAUGAUUUAGCUUUUAUUUUCGUGCAUCUAGAUCGCGAAAAGGACGAAAGAAACAAAGUAUUUUCCUAGUGGUUUUAGGCUUUCCAAUGAGAGUGAAAACAAUCUAACAUAAUUGCUAUAAUUGUUUGAGGAAAUAUUUUAUUAGAAUUAAAUCAUUCAAAAUCACUUCACAAAAAGUAUAAUUCUCUUACUAUUUAAAUUUAAUAUUAUAGCUAAAAUGUAAAUUUUAUUAAUUAAAUUCUUUAGUAUACACAAGCUUUUCAUAUUAUUUGUUUUAGAAAAUAAAUAUCAAUCAAUCAAAAGUCAAAAUUAUUUUGGUAAGUUUCAUUUCAUUUUUUGUUAAAAGUAAUUUCUAGCUUUGUUUUUAAUGUGAUUUAAUUAUAUAUAUAUUUUUUAUCUACGUUUGUAAAUAUUAGAAAAAUAAAAAUUAAUAAAAUAAAAAAGGAAAGAAAUAAAAUUAGAAUAAUUGACCAAGAAUUUUUAUUCUUUGUUAACGCAUCAAAAUGUAUUUAUUAGAAGAAAAUAAAAUUUUUAUAAUUAUUAUGAAUGAAAAUAAAUUAUCAUUUUUGUCAUUGAUUUUAAGUUGAAUUUUUAAUAUCAAAGACAAAAAUAAUAGUUCUGUUUCAUUUUAAAAAUUUUAAAAUAUUUGAUUUUUUAAUAAAUAUAUUUAAUAUGAUAACAAAGACUAAUAAUUCUAGAUUUAUUAUCCUAAAUUGUAAUUUUCUCUUAUUUUAUGCAAAAUUGAUAGAGCCAUAUUGACAUCAUUUUAAAAGGUUUAGGAAUAUCAUGAGACAAUUUAAAAUUUAGGAAUCAAAAUGUAGGUUUCAUUUCUUUCUUACUUUAUUAUUAUUUAUUUUUUUCUCCUAAAAAAAGAGAAAUUAUGUUUUUAGGUAUAAAAAGUAAACAAUUUUUUUAUGAAAUUAUAUUAUUAGAAGAAAUUAUAAUUAUAAUUAAAUAAUUUUUAAUAUACAUUAAUAAGGAAAACCAAUAAGUAAACCAAAUUGACAACUAAUCAAUCAAAAUAUAAUUUGAACAAAACUCACAUUUGGUGGAAUUUGAUCCUAAAGACAAAUAUUUGAAAGCUCAUAUUAUCGAGACAAAAUUUCAUUAGAAAGUAAAUAAUAUUCUUUAAAUAAGUAAAAGUAAAAAAUUAAUUUAUGGGAUAAUUUAUUUAAAAAUAUGUCUUAUUUCACAUUUUAAUAGAAAUAAUUUAUUAAUGGCUAAAUUCUAUCAACUAACAAAUUUAUAAUCAUAUAAUAUAAUAUAUAUAAAAUAUUUUUUAAGAAAAAUUUACAUUUUUUAUAUUUGUAUUAAUUUUAAUAAAUCAAGAUAAAUAAAUUACACAAAAAUUUAUUAAAACACAUAUUAAUUUAAAUUUUUUUAGAAUUCUCGAAUGUGGCUAUGCCACUGGUUCUAUCAAUAGGUCGGACCGUCCAUUAAGCUCGCGGGUUUCAAUUUGUUGAGGCUGGGCUUCAAAUAAAAUUUGUGAAGCUUGAAAAAAAUAUAGUAAUAAUGAGGUGCAUAAAAAAAUUAUGAGACCGCCCUCACAAUAACCUUCCUCAUCACCAAGUUAAAUUGCCAAGGGGGACAGCGAGCUUUACCGGUUCCUGAUUUUCAGCCUGUCGGUGAGAAUAGUUAAAAUGUAAAGGGCAAAUGUAUAAUUCCACCAUAAAACGUAGCCCCAUUCUGGAAAACUCUCACGCACUCUCACUCCUUUGUACCACUAUUUAUAAUUGCGAUCUAUCAGUUACUCCGUGUUAUUUCCCGCGGCUUUGAACGCGCCUUCAAUUUUGGCUUUUUUCUUUUUCUUUUUUUUAUUGUUAUUUUUAAUUGUCUCCUCUUCGCAUUCUGAAAAUCCAAAAAGAAAAUAAAAUUUAAUAUUAUUUAAUUUUUAUUUAUUUUUUUAGUUUUGUUUUCGGAGCCCAAUGUUGCAGGAAUCGUUGUGACUUUUUCACUAGUUAAAACUACCUGUGCCAGGUUUGUAUAAAUGAUGCGGCCAAUCCUUCUUUUUUUUGUUCAUCGAUUUUUAAAAAUUUGUUUUCCCUUUUGUAAAAUUUAAUUAAAAAUCUUCAAUCUUCUCAAGAUUUCAAUGCUAGUCUUCAGCAAUGAUCGAGUGGAUCUUGUUUGGAUUAAAUGGAAGUGAGGAGAAAGUGGAGGAAAGUGAGGGAAAAUAAUGAAGUUCUACAUAUCAACAACAGGGAUAGGGAGGGUUACGAUAUCGAACUCGAGUGGAGGAGGUGGAGGAGGAGGAGGAGGGGGGAGCAAGGGAGCGACGGUGGCAAUAACGGGGGCUGCGGCGGCGCGUGGACGGCUAUCGAGCCGGACUCUGUUGCCGGUGGUGUUAGUUUUGGGGAUCGUUUUGCCUUUCCUUUUCGUUAGAAUUGCCUUCUUGGUUCUUGAAUCUGCUUCUUCGUCUUCUUGUUCUUCCCCUAUCGGUAAUUUCCUAUAUCCUUUGUUCACUCCAAUUCGUUUUAACCGAAUCUUACUAUUUUUGCUUUUUUUUUUGUUUUGGAAAAUAAUUUUUUAGGGAUGCACUGCUUUAACGGUGUUGUACCUUUGGUUUGUAUCAAUUUUACUGUAUUUUUUUUACUUUUAAAUUCAAUAAAUUAUUAUUACUUUUUUGGAGAAUUGACCAAUGAGUUGCUUAUAUUUAAUCACUCUGCCGUUCGUUUAAGCACCUGGCCUAUGUUUUUAUUUACUUUAAAUGUUGAAAAUUUUAUUAUAUUUCAUUUUAUUUUAAAGUUCUAAUGGAUGAUUCUAAUUAUAUCUUUUUUUUUUACAUUUUUUAAAAUUAUUUUAAAAUGAAAUUUAUUAAAUAAUUCUUUUCUUCAUAUAUUUUUUUUCAUUUUUAAGUUUUUUAUUUGCAAAUUCUACUAUUUUUAAGAAUUUUCAAUUUUUAAAAAUAUUAAAAUUUGUAUAUUUGAAAGAUUUAAAAGUUUUUGAAUUUAUAUAUUAAAAAAUUUAAAAAUUUUUAUAAGAUAUUAUUAAAAUUCUUUUCCUCAAGUUAAAUGUAAUUUUGUUUUUAAUUUAUGAGGAUAUAAAAAUUUGAUAAAUUAUAUAAUUUAAUGAAAUUUUAUAUUUAAAAAUUUUAAAAUUAAGAUGAAAAAAAACUAAAUAAAUAGUUUUAUCUAAAAAUUUUGAAAAAAAAAAGUUUAAACGUGGAGAAAAAAAGUGCGUUUAAAAACUCUCAAACUUUUGUUGAAAGUAGUAAUUAACUGUUCAUUUUAAUGGCAUUUUGCAGAUUGCAUAGGAUGGAGGCUUUUUAGUGGACGUGACACAUCUCAGGUUAGUGUCAUUUUAGUGGUAUAAAACUUUUUUUUUUAUUAUAUGAGGAGAGUAAAAUUUUAAUAUAAAUAAAAGGAAAAAAAAAAACUCGAAAUCAGAUUUUUUUAUGUCUCCUCGAACGUCGUAGACGGUAUAAAAACUUUUAUAGUAACCGAUUUGCCCUUUAUAUUGUGAAGGGGAUUUUUCUUCAUUUCCUUCAUUUUAAGUUAUGAGAAAAUAGUAAUUACAAAAAUUAAGAAAAAAAAGGACAUAAUCUGAACAAGUCAUGCUAGAAUGUACGAGCAACUUGUAGUAUUAGAUUGCCACGUGUAUCAAGGGGAGGUGGGCAGGAUUGGAAUUUGUGAACUUUAUGGUUUUUUAGGAGAAAAUAUUUAUCCAUAAAAUAUUAAAAAAAAUACGAAACUUAAAAUAAUUAUGACAAUGAGGUGAAAAUGAAAAAAAAAAAAAGUUGAAUUUUUUGAAAUAAAAAGGAGUGUCAGGGGUCAUUGCUGCCACUUGGAUUUUGAUUAAAGAUUAGAAUUCCCUAAUUUUUUUUUUUUUUGCUAAAAAGAAAAAAAUCUUUUGUGUUAUAAUUCAAUAAUCAUUAAUUUUUAAUAUUUUAUUUCAAGCAAUCAAACUCUUAAGUUUUUAUUUUAAUUCAAUUAAAUCUUUAAAUAAAUAAAAUUUAAUUAUGUGAUAAAAUUUAAUAAAUAAAAUUUCAAAUUACAAAUAAUUGAAUUUUUAGAGGGAUUUGGAGGGAGAGGGAUAAAGAAAAUAAAAAAGAAAAAAGAGGAUAUUUUAUUUUAUUUUAUAUAAUAUAUAUUAAUUAUGUCAUUUAGCAAAUUUUUAUUUAUUUUAUUAAUAUUAUAUAAAAUUUUAUUUUAGUAGGUAAAAAAAAUUAAUGAUGGCAACUGUUUUAUUCAAAUAAAAACUUAAUUGCGUGUAAAUAAAUAUUGGAUAAGUUGAUUAAUUGUAAUAAAAAAAAAUAAGAGUUUAGAUAAAGUUUUAAUUAUAAUUCAUGGAUCUUUUAUGCCUUUUAAUUUUUUUUUUAAUUUCUGUCACCUUUUCCCAACUUAAUUUAUCUAUUUUUCUCGAACAAGACCCAAAUUUUGAUUAUGAUCAAUUUUGGGAUAAAAUCCAAAAUGAUAACGAUGUCUUGGUAAUUAAUUUGCAAAAUCAUGCCAGAUAUCUGUCAAUAUUUUAUCCUGACGCGUUACCUUCUUUUGGCGGGCGCAAGUUGCUCUAUACCUCAAUUCCUGAUUUUAAAAAGUGCCUAUUUUUCAUUUUAAAAGAAAUGGAAUUCAAUUUUUUUUUUGAACAUAUUUCCUAUCAUUUUUUUAUUAUAAUUUUAUAAUUAUUUAGUUACAUUAAAAUUUAUUUAAAAAUUUAUUAUUUAUAAAUGUGUGGUUUCACAUAAAUUUUUGAUAGAUUUUUAUAUAAUUUUAAAUUUUUAUUGAUUAAUUAUAUUAUAAUAAUUAUAAAUAUAUUUUUUUCUCUUAAGAGGAGUAUCGAAUCAUCCAUCUAUUCUUAUAAUGGAGGGUGGAUACAAUAGUAUUUUGUUUUUGUAUAAAAGAGAAUAUUAUGAUUGUUAAAAUAAAAAGAAUAUUAUGGCUUGAUAACUUUGAUGUAAGAUCUCAACUCAAGUUUCCAUCUCUUAAAUAUUGUUUCUUUCUUUGGGUACAAUGGGAAAUAUAAUAAUUGUUUCUAUAAUACUGGAAUUUAGGACUCCUAUGACUUGAAACUUGAAGGUUGGAGUUUACAUUAGUAAAAUAGUAGAAAAAAGAAAAGAAAUUUUGAUUGAAUUAUGGUACUAUUGUCCAAAAUUUUCAACUUGCAAGUCUAAGAAAAAUCAGUUUUAUCUUUUCAUUAUUUUAAUGCUUUUUCCUCUGUACACUUUGACAUUUUCUAUGCCCACAUAUUUGUACAUAGUAAAGGAUGAAACAGUGGGGACAUUUUGGCAAACGGGACAUCUAUUAUCAUCCAAAACGAAAAUACAUUAAAAGAAAAAAAAAAUUGAUAAAGAAAACAAAAUGUGUAAUGGUGGGGUAUACUUUUUCUUUUUUACAUUUGUUUUGUCGCUGUUUCAACUUAUUUCUAUAGUGGGCACUCAAACCAAAAGAUAUACUAUUAAAAAUGAUUUUGAUGAUUGAAAAAAAGAUAUAUUUCUAUUUUGUAGCUUUUUUUAAUUUUAUAUAUCUAGGACCUCUCAUAGAGUUUGAGAUAUAUUUAGAAAAAUCUACAAGGGGAAUGGCAUUUCGGUCAAAAACCCAAAACAUUUUGGAAACAACAAAAUGCUGAUAAUAAUAAAUGGAUCAUGAAAAAACAUAUCUGGAAGGAAAUGUCGUUAUUUCACUUCCAUUAAGUUGCUUUCUUAGACACAUGGCCAGUUGUCAUGCCAUCGUCAUAUUAUUAUGCUCGUCCACUUGCACGAAUUUUCUGCUGUCAAUACUUUUUACAUGUUUCCGCUAUGUUCUCAAUGAAAGCUAGAAAAAGUGUAGAGCUUUUUUUAGGUUUGGAACAAGUCAAAAAGGAAUCCUGUCAAUGAUGGUCCAUCAUCAUUACCUUUAGUCAUCAUAUAUGUCAACAUGGUUUAGUGAAAUCAACGGUUUGAAAGGCAUGUGCAGUAUAGUUGAUCAUAUCUGAUUUAGUUGUAUGGUUUUAUCAUGAUCAUGCAUGUACCAUAAAGAAACUCAAAGAAGAACUGACAAGGGCACUAAUGGAGGUGAAUGAUGGCAACAGUGUUGAAGGGGGAAUAAAGGGUUCCUUGGAGUCAUUCAAUGAGCUUGUGAAGGAGAUGACGUCAAAACAACGAGACAUCAAGGCCUUUGCUUUCAAGACAAAGGCUAUGGUAAUUUACUCUUACUCAUUUUGUUCUUGUCUUUAUAGAUCAAUUUAUCUCCGUUAUUGAUAAUGGGUUAAUUUUUUUUUUUUUCCUCUGAAGAAACUGGCUUAAUUCUGCCAAAACAUCCUAAGUAGUGAUUUGAAUUUAUAUUAGCAUUAUGCUCUUUAUUUCAUUUUAAUUGAUGUGAAUCAAAGCUAUGCUUAUUUCACCCUCUACCUUACUAACAAAAUAUAUAUGAGGAAUUUUUAAGAUUCUUAAAUUAUAGAAUCUAGACUUUAAUCACUCGCUACAUGAAUGUCUUCUUUGACUUUAGUAGUAAUUUCACAGUUUUAAUUAAAAUAGGGAAUGAAAGCGGAAGAAUGAAAGAGGAAAAAUGAAAAAUGUUCAAAAGACUGAAGUGUUGGAUUUCUUCUAGAAAGAGGGGAAGGACAAAUGGCAAUGUAGGCAAUCAGAGUUACGAAUUCUACUCGUUUAAAAAAGUUUGAAAGAAACUGCCAGUGUAAUGUGAGACCCAAAUCAGGGUCUCAGAUAUUAUGUUGUUAAUAGGUAUAUAUGGAAUGUGCACUUUUUGACUUAAAAUGGAUAAAACUUGACACAGGGUACUGGGACUAAGCAAUUGAGACACAGGGAAAAAUAGGGCAAAAAAUUAAGAGAUAAAAACAUAUGCAUUACCCAUACUUUACUGUAGGACAUGAGGACAUCAUAUGCCCGAUCAUUUUCAAUGGAUGUAAAUUGUUAGAUUGGCUUGUUGGAAGCACAGUUUUAGAGUAACUUAAUGAAUUUUCUUAGAGCCAAAAGCUUGUUUGAUCAACUAAAAGUUUUAUGAACUCAGAAGCCAGCAGUAGUUUUUUAAUUACCAAGAAGAUUACAGUUGCAUUCUUCAUAAAAAAGGAAAAUUGGGUCAUGAACUUUCAAAAGGAUUCCUAGGGAUUCUUAUAACUCCAGACUAAUUAAAUUUGGAUGCCUUUACAGUCUGAAAAUUACAUAUGGUAUAUGCAUGCAUGUGGACAAAGAUGGUGGGUUGCUCUUGGUUUCGGACUUUUGGAUGUUCUAGGCCAUUUUAUCUUGACCUAUGUCUUUAUUGGUUGUUUGUCAAAACAUUAAGAUGUAUAUUGUCAUUAAAGGUCACGUAACCUUUUGGGGUUCUACCAGAUAUUAUUUCUCAUUCAAUGAGAGAAGUUUUGCUGAUGUGUGGCAAAAGCAUUCCUCCAACAUGCAUUAGAAUUUCAUCAUUGAAUGUUGAGAAAGUAUGAAAGUUGCCAAGGCAUCUUUCCCAUGAAUUUACCCUAAAUAUUAUUUAAUUAGGGCUGCCAUGUGAGGACCAUCUCUCUUGAAUCGUAAAACAUACAAAAUUUGAUUAAGCUAAUUGAUGAUGAUGCAUUUUGUCCACAAUUAGCCAAUGCAACUAUUUAAGCAAAUUGCUUUUGGUUUUUAGCUAUUUUUGUUUUAUAUUUGUCCUUGUUUAUUUUUAUUUUUGUUUUUCUUUGGGAGAGCUAUUUCUAGUUCCUGUGGAUUUGUUUCAAGAAAUGAGUGUUGGGCAAAGAUCGAGACAAGAACUCAGUGUGACAAAAAGAUAGAUUUAGAUUAAUAAUGACCUCAAAAUACCUUUUUUAUAAAUUGUUUGUAAGCAAUACCUAAUUGUUUUGAUAUAGAUAAUUAUUGCCUCUUAUUCCUAGUACAAGUGGUACUACCAUAUCGUUCUUUUUCUCUUUAACACCGGCAUUUUGACAGACUUCUACAUGUGAACUAGAUAAAUAAUUCAUAUGGGGUAAAAGUUCAUAUUUGUAUCAAUGGUGUUUCUUUUAUUGAAAUCAAUAAGUAUAUUUUAUAACUAGUAAGUUUGUAUUAUUUGAAGUGAGGAAAUCUUUAGAAUAAAACUAUUUUAUUCUUUUAUAUUUUUUUUAUUACAAUGCUAGAAUUGCAUGAAAAUAUAUAGGCUAAAGAUUGAAUAUUCUCAAUCUUAAAACUCAAGAUUUUAUGCAUUAAAACAGCUAAUUAAAUGAGUAAUUUACUCUUUACACAUAAUAAAAAAAUAUAGUGGAUUUUGUGUAAUUACUUAAAUCACUUCUUAUUUUAAAAAUAAGAAACUUAACUAAAAUAGAUAAAGUCAACUAAUCAAGUACUAAUGAAGAUUAGAUUUCCACACUCCCUUUCAAGCUGGGUGGCAGAUGUCAAUCAUGCCUAGCUUGGACUUCAGAUUCUCAAAGUUGUUCUGAGAGAGAGCCUUAGUGAGUAUGUUUGUAGUUUGAAGGCAUAUGGGAGUAUAAACUUAUCUAACAAUUCCUUCCUCUAUCUCCUCUUUAAUGAAAUGAUGAUCAAUCUCCACAUGUUUAGUCCUAUCCUGAUGAACAAGAUUUUUGCCAUACUUAUGGCAGCUUUGUUGUCGUAGAAUAUCUUCAUGGAUUCUUCUACAAAGGUUUUUAACUCCUUAGUAACCUUUUCAGCCAAAUUGCCUCGUAUAUAUCAUGAGACAGCUCUAAGCUCAGCUUCCGUGCUAUUUCUAGCCACCACAGAUUGAUUCAUGCUUUGCCAAGUAACCAAAUUUCCCCACACAUAGGUACAAUAACCAAUAGUUGAUAAGGCAAGGGCUUUGAAAUUUCAUAACUCGAUAAGGCAUUCUGUUUAUUAGAUUUGUAGUAGUAAGAACAGCCUUAUCCUAAAAAUGCUUAGGUACAUGGGCAGCCAUCAUGAGGGAUCUUGCAACUUCUAACAAAUGUCGAUUCUUUCUUUCAGCAACGCCAUUUUGUUGAGGAGUGUCGACACAUGAGUUUUGAUGAAUUAUAUCAUGCUUCAUUAGAUAUGAUCCAAGAAUUGAAUUGUAGUAUUCUCUCCCAUUGUCGGUUCUCAACACUUGGAUUUUGAUUUUGAAUUGAGUUUGGAUCAUAUUGUUGAAGUUUUGGAAUAGCUAGCCGACUUCUGAUUUUACGUCGUAAGGAAUACCUAAGUAACCUUGGUGUGAUUAUCAAUUAAUGUGACAAACCAUCUGGAGCCAGUAAUGUUAUUUACUCUUGAGGGACCCCAAAUGUCAUGUGUAUCUUGAAAAAGGAUGGAAUGGUUUGUAAGGCAGAUUAGGAUAUGUGGUACAAGUAUGUUUGGAUAGUUGGCAAACUUUACAUUGAAGGUUGUUAGGAUUUUGAUUGAAUAAUGAGGGAAACAACUUUUAAGGUACAAAAAAUUUGGAUGAGCUAACUGAUAGUGCCACAACAUAAUAGUACUAUCUUUAUUAUUAGUGGAGGAUGAAACCAUACAAGAGAUCUUUUGAUAUUGUCUUUCAGAAUCAUUAGCUCUUAGGAUAUUGAGUCUUGCACCCAUCUUAGCAUUGUCAAUCAUCUUCCUGAAUCCAAAUCCUAAAAUUCACACAUAUUUGAAAGAAAUUUAGUAACAAACUUAAGGGUUCUUGUAAGUUUACUUAUAGAUAGUAGAUUGCAACUUAGAUUUGGGAUAAACAAAACAAAAUCAAGUGUUAUCUCUUUAGAAAUAAUAACAGAACAUGUAUCGGUUACUUUUGAAAGUGACUCACCGGCAAUUCAAACUGUGAAGUUUUCAUAACAUGGAUUGUAUUUACUAAAUACAGAUGCAUUCCUAGUUAUAUGGUUUGAAACUUCUGAAUCUACAAUUUAUAAAUUUGAUUUUUAUAGUUUUACACUCAAGGCACUUAGAAAAUUAUCUUUUUGUGGUAGAGAACCUGUUCGAAUAGAAGUGGUAAUGUUCUGUAAUGAUUGAGAAACACUAGCUCCAAGGUUAGAGGUAACCUUCGACACCGGACUCUUCUUUCCGUUGGCCAUAUUGGACUCUGAGUGAAAAUUUUCAACGGUUCAGAUCGAGCUUUGAUAUCAUGAAGAAAUCUCUAAAAUAAAACUAUUUUAUUCUUUUAUAUUUUUCUUAUUACAAUGCUAGAAUUGUAUGAAAAUAUAUAGGCUAAAAAUUGAAUAUUCUCAGUCUUAAAAUCCAAGAUUUUCAUGUAUUAAAAUAACUAAUCAAAGAAAUAAUUUACUCUCUACACAUAAUAAGAAAAUAUCUAAUGGAUUUGGUGUAAUUACCCAAAUAACUUCUUAUUUUAAAAAUAAGAGACUUAAUUAAAAUAGAUAAAGUCAACUAAUCAAGUAAUAAUGAAGAUUAGAUUUCUUUGUGAAGGAAAGCCUAUUCUAUUCCAAGUUAGAAAUAGCUAACUUAACCAGCAACAUGGACUUUCCCAUUCUGUCAAAUGGUUGAGUUAAUGUUGGAUUUAAAAGUGUUCUAGAGAGCACUGAUGAUGAGACUUUACGUUUAGCAUUACUCAAUUGUGUGGCAUCAGAAUUUUUGUUCUAACUAGUUCUUAUAUGUUGCGGCAGUCCAGUUGCCUCUGUUGACUUAUGUCAGUAUGAAAAAGGUUGUUUCACCACAUGUUGUAAGGUGUUUGACCUCAAAAUGGAUAAGCUUACAGAGACUGCAUUUAAUUAUUACGCUCAUGUGCUCGUGUCCUCAUGUUCUGAAAUAGCUGCAAACUUACUUGAUCCUAUUUGUUGCUGGCAAUCCAUCAAAUAUGAUUGUGUGUAAUUGAUCUUGAACUUUUUAUUAGGUUGAGAAUUGUGGCAUAUUUUACCUUCCUUCAUAGGCUACUAUUUUUCAGGACUUGAGUUAAUGCUCACUAUCAUGCCCAUUUCUUUCCUGUUUCUGACACAUCCAUUAAUUGUUUGUGUUUACUCAUGAAUUACCAGGGAAAUUUGAUUAUCAGUGUCUAACAAGUAAUUAGGAAAGAAAUAAUAAUAAAAAAGGUCCUUGCUAUUCUUGUCAUUGGUCAGAGUCCCAUCACCAGAGAAAGAUCUUAAAAUUUGUAUAAAUGAUCAAUUGUUACCUAGUGGAAUAACAUCAAUUGUGUUCUACUUUCUCUUAGGAACUUGGACGAAACACCUGCAUUACAAUGUCAUGCAAUUUGAUAUAUUUUUGUUUCAAGCCUUUGAUUCUUCUGAAUCAUGAGGAUGCCCAAGUGUUAGGAAUAAACAAUUAUUUUAUCAUAUAUAUUGUUUUCUGGUUCGAUGCUACUCACUAAACAAUGUUUUUGGGUGUGUUUACAUAUUUUCUUGUGGUUUGUAUUUGCUUGUAUGUUCUUUUGCUUGUACAUGGAAUUAAUGCUUUUGAUUACAAUGAGUAUAAGAAACUGUUCUGUCUAAUGAAUGGAAACAACUGAAAUGAGGUGUCAUUGAUAAUUAUAUAUUUUAAGUCAUUUGUUCAAAUGUAACUUGCAAUACGUGUAUCCGCUUCAACAUCCUGUAAUAAAACAAAGUACUUUCUUUUUUUAUUUCCAGCUAUUAGGUAUGGAGCAAAAGGUGCACUCAGCAAAGAAGCGUGAGUUAAUGUACUGGUAUUUAGCUUCACGGGGUGUCCCAAAGAGCCUACAUUGCCUAUGCCUGAAAUUGGCAGAAGAGUAUACUGUAAACGCAAUGGCCCGUUCUCAUUUACCUCCACCUGAACACGUUUCUCGUCUUGCUGACACAUCCUUUCACCAUGUUGUGCUUCUGACUGACAAUGUCCUGGCCGCCUCUGUUGUCAUAUCAUCUACAGUUGAAAAUGCAGCAAAUCCCGAAAAUAUGGUGUUUCACAUAGUAACAGACAAGAAAACUUACACCCCAAUGCAUGCAUGGUUUGCAAUAAAUUCUCUCAAAUCAGCAGCCGUGGAAGUUAAGGGAUUACAUCAAUAUGAUUGGUCUGAGGAGGUGAAUGUUGGAGUUAAGCAGAUGUUGGAAAUUCAUCGCUUGAUCUGGAGUCAUUCCUACAAUAAUCUGAAAGAAGAAGACUUUGACUAUGAAGGAGAGAAUAAAAAUUGUUUGGAGGCUUUGAGCCCUAGCUGCCUUUCCCUUAUGAAUCAUCUUCGCAUUUAUAUCCCUGAAGUAAUUACUCUAAAAUUUGCUUUGAAUUUUCUGAUAAGCAAUUUAUUCUCAACCUUAAAUUUCAGCGGGCAUUGAUAUUUUCUUAACUUUCAUGGGUUGCACAGCUGUUUCCAGAUCUCGACAAGAUAGUAUUCUUGGACGAUGAUGUUGUAGUACAACAUGACAUAGCAUCAUUGUGGAAAUUGGAUCUCAAUGGGAAAGUUGUUGGUGCAGUUGUUGACUCAUGGUGUGGCGACAACUGUUGUCCAGGAAGGAAAUACGAGGACUACUUGAAUUUUUCACACCCAAUAAUUUCAUCCAACCUUGAUCAAGAUCAUUGUGCAUGGCUUUCUGGUAUGAAUGUCUUCGAUCUUGAGGCUUGGAGGAGGACCAACAUCACAACAUCUUAUCAUAAAUGGUUGAAACUUGUAAGUAAAUUGUCGGUCGGCUGAUCAGCUAUUUGGCUAAUAUUGCUUUAAUGUCCAUUUUAUUGCAAAUCAUCACCUAAAUUCAGUGGAUAAAUCAAAAUUAAGGAAACUGUAUUUGUUUAUAGACUUCAAGUUGCACAAAGCAUUUUGCUUAUCCCUAUUGACACCUCUACUGCUUGGCAUUGCAUUUUCGUACCGCGUAGCAUGGUACUGAUUGAAAUCUUAGACCUGGCAAUUGGUGUAUUUGUGUUGUUAUCAAUGGGAAAAAUGGAACAUUUUUAUCUUAAUUGUAAAAUGAAUUAAUUCCCUUUUUGUUAGUUACCGUAAUCCAAUAAAUAAUCUUUUUACAGAAUCUCAAUUCUGGAUUGACGCUAUGGCAACCGGGAGUACUGCCACCAACCUUGCUUGCUUUUGAGGGUCAUGUGCAUCCUAUUGAUCCGUUAUGGCAUGUCGCUGGGUUAGGCUAUCGAUCCUCGUCUGCUCAUGGAGAGAUAUUGGAGGCUGCUGCUGUUUUGCAUUUCACUGGCCCUGCAAAGCCAUGGCUCGAGAUUGGGUCUCCAGAAGCACGAAGCCUGUGGAAUAGACAUGUAAAUUUCUCAAACAGCUUUAUUCGGAAAUGUAGAAUAUUGGGGGUAGGAGGAUGAAGUUCUCUCACAUUUACAUACUCAGUUUCGGAACCAAACCGGCAGUAACUGUAUGGAACCAGAGGGAAGAAGGUUUUGCCUUCAGUCUCUGCUUAUACUUUCAUAGCACGACAUUGGUAGCUUUUCAUGUCCAUAAUAGAAAAUAGAUGAAGGUACUUCCUGAUAUACAAUAGAGUAAGAAUCUUAAACCUUCAAGGGAUAAUAGUGAUUAUAUCGUUGUAGCUCUUCAACAAAAUUGUAAAUUACUUUAGUCAGCUUAUUGACAUUACUUUAUCUCAAUGGUGAAACUCAAUUUUAAUUUUUUUUUUAAAAUAUGUAUUUUUUCCAGUUCAGAGUCACACUUAACCCUCUUGCUUCAGAACUCUUAGUCGAAUGAAUCUUGACAAAAUAGGGGUUGAAUUAAUUUUUUACCAAAUUAAAUCGAUCAGGCGAUAAGGUGAGUUUUAAUUCAAAUGAGUAGGAAAAAGAGCGAAAGUAUGAUGAGUUUUGGGUGUUUCCUAUGGAGGCUCUUCCAACGGUUGCAUCCUCCAUUUUAGCAACUUAACUUAACUCUAAUUUUGGCUCAAAGCAGCGGCUGAAGAAAGUUAUUCCGCAAAAUCCAUUUCUGAUUCCUUGGCAGUUUAGCUGCUGCCAAUAUUUUUCUGACUAACCACUAUAUCCAUUUUACUACCACAUGGAGUUCUCUCAUUCGUCCAACUAAGCAUCAACUUGGCUGAUUUGGUUGCUGCGUGCCAUUGUCAUCUCACCAUUCUGUCAUCGAAAUUUUAGUGACUGGCAUGUCUUUAUCAUGCCACAUGUCAAAUAUUGAUUAAUUGAUAAAAUUUCCUGCCAUAUUUACUGCAAAGUCAGCCUUCUAGCCACGUCUGCUUUGUUGCCGGGUAAAUUUUAGUUGUCAAAUAUUUUUUCCUUUGAGCCAAAAAAAAAAAAAAAGGAAAGAAGAAGAAAGAAAGGUAUUUCAAUUGGAAACUCGCCAUUUUUACCGGCCCAUCCGAUCAGCAUUUUUUAGUUGACAUUUGCUACGAGAUAAUCAUUUUAAAAAAUAAAAUAAUUUAUAUAUGAUAAUUAAAUUAUUAUAUUUAGUAAAUGAUUGAUGAUUUUAUGUAACGAUAAUUUUGAAUCAUUAAAAAUAAUCAAAUUAUUAUUUUAGGAGAUAAUUUAAUUCUCAUUUAAAAGAGUAAAAAAUUUUUAUUAUAAAGAUGAAAUGAUAUAUAAAAUUAAUAAUAUUUAAUAUUAUUCAUUUAAUAUGUGAAUAAAAAUUUAUUUUUCUUAAAAUUAUAUUCAUUUUAUAUUAUAAAUUUUUAUAUUUUCAAACUAAUAUUUAUUAUAAAAAGUUGAAAAAUAAAUUGUAUAUUUUUUAUUUUUUAAUAUUUUAUAUAUAUUAUAAUUAAUCAUUUUGUUUUUCUUUUAUUAUGAUUUGAAUAUAUUAGUUUUAUUUUCUAAUUAAUUUUUUUACAUAAUUUAUAUUAUAGUAUCAAUAUAUAUACGAAAUUUAAUAAUUUAAUAAUAUUUUAUUAUAAAAUAAAUAAAAUAUUACUAAUAUUUACAAAUUAUUAUCUUUAAACAAUAUUAAAACCAUUAGCUUGUGUAACUAUUACAAUAUGUCAGAUUAUUUUUGUACUUUUAAAUAAAAUAAUGUUUAAUUUUUAAUAAUAACAAAUAUAAUGAUAUUUAAUUUUUAAAAAUUAAUGAUUAUUAAUUAAAUAAAAUGAUUUCAAAUCACAAAUGAUAAAAUCAUCUUAAUAAUAAAAUCACCUCGAUAAUUACAUUAUCAGGAUAAUCUUACAAAAAAUACCAAAUAAUACCUUAGAGUUUGAAUAAAACUCUCAAUUAAGUCAAUAAAUUUUGAGGGCUGCUCAAUCCGUAAUUUCCUUUUUAUUUUCAAAUUUCUUUCUAACUCUGCCUCUCUUCUCUUCAUCUUUACCUCUUUAUCGUCAUGCAUGGUUAAUGGAAGCCUCUACGAUGGAAAUUUGAGAAAUUUAUGAAUGGUCAAUUUUUAAAAAAUUCUUUAAGUGAAUAAUUUUUUUAACAAAAAGUUUUUUGUCUUCUUUUAAUCAUAAUAUAUUAAAACAUUGAAAAUGAUGAUUAUUUCAAAAUUUAAAAAAGGAGAUUUUCUAAAGAAAUUUAAACAUGAAAAUUUUCUUUAAUAAAAAUGAAUUCUUUUAAGGAUUAUUAUAGAAAGUCUCAAGUAUGCAAACAUUUUUCAAAAUUUUGUUGAUGACAAAAGAAAUUAAAAGAAUUAGAUUUAAAUAUUAAAUUAAGAUCAUUUUUAUAAGUUAAAAGGAUAACAUAUAAUUAACCCAUAUCUUUUUUUGAAUGGAGGAUGUUAAUACUUUUUUCACAUAUAACAGUAUUUUCAAACUCAAUUUUAGUUUUGAUAACUCAAAAAAAUUAUUGAGAUUUAUUAAAAAAUUAAGUUUUCUUAUGCGAUCAAUGACAUUUAAAAAAAAUAUUAAUGACGACUCUAUCUUCAAAAUCUUUGAAACGGAUGGACUCUGGUUUGCAUGUUGUGAUAAUACAUAAUCAAGAUAAAUUCAUUAAGCUAAAUGAGAAAAUAGUUAGUACACUGUCACAAUGAGACAAAGGAAAUGAAAGAUAAAAUGCAUAAAGAAAGGACAAAAAUAAAAUUUUAAUGUCUUUGAUUUUAUUUCUAAAUUGUUUUAAUUUAAUUAAAGAUAACAAUGAUAAUUUAUAGGUGAAAUUUAAUUGUAUGACCUAUAAAUCUUUGAAAUUUGAUGGGCUGGAAUUUGGUUAUAUCUCUGAAUCAUUUGUUAUUUAAUUAGAAAAAAAAAAAAGAUGAUUUAUAGCUGAAUUCUGAUUGGUUGGACUAUGAUAAGUCUUUGAAAUUUGAUUGGCCAAACCAUUUGUUUUCAUCUUGACUUGUCAUGAUAAAUCAUGAAUUAAUUUCUUUAGCAGCACUAGAAAAUUUUAAUUGGUAAAUUAAAAAAAAAGAAAGAAAAAAAAGCCAUAAGCCACUUUAUAAAUAGUCGAAAAUUUUCGCUAGGAAAUGAGAUUCAAAGCAAAGAAGCCCUUAACAAAUCAUAAGUAUCAAACACAUAUCAACAAAUGGUAAGACUGCAUCUGUUAAAAAUAUGCUUACAUUUGGACAUAAACAAACAUGACAUACUGGUUCCCCUUGAACUGUCAUAUUACAAGCAUGGCAAUUUUACCUAAUAAUGUGAUUGAUUUAUAUUUCCUGUUUUAUAAAAGCAUAAUUUGUUACAUAUAUCCAAGUUGAUGAAGUCCAUGCGAAAUCAAAUAACUAUAUGUCCAGAACUGCUUAAUCUAGUUUUUGAGUUGAACAAAUAUUAGAAACAGAAGUGAAGGGAUGAAAGAUUAAACAUGUUAUCUAGUGUUUUGGAAACAUAUAAUACAAGAAUAAUCCAGCACUGAAAAGGGAACAGAAUCCAGUACUAAAAAUCUAAGUUCCUUGCUUAAGCGAUGAACAACUAGUUUUCAACUAUUUAUAAACUAUAUAUACUUCCAAGCUUAUAUGCUUAACCAGAGACAAAGUUGGUAGAACAUUUGUGACUGCUUGCAUUUCAGCUGCAUGAAAAACAAAUAUGCAUCAGAAUAUGAACAUAUUUUUAUGUACUACAUUAUUUAUGAAUGAAUUUAUAUUUGAUGUACUAUUAAUGAAUAGAUGUUAUAAACUGUUGGUGAAUCACACAAUAAUACUUUAUAAAAAAAAUGCAAUCAAUCCUAACAAUAUAUUUAAAAUUAAUUUUUUAUGAGAUAUCAUUAUAUAAUUCACUUUAUAAACUGAUUGAACAUCAAAUAUAAAUCCAUAUAUGAAUAAAAAAAAUGAUCAAGUAGCAUUAAUUAUGUUUUCAAUACACGUGAGAUGCAGUCAUGCAGAAUCAAAUACCUAUUAUGAAGUAUGAACAAGAAAAAAUGGAAAGAGAUGAGGGAAUAGCCCCAUACAUUUGAGUACUGUUUAAUGCUUCAAAGUUAAUAGUUAGAUAAUAGCAUAUAACCUUUUCCAAUUUUAGGAUUGUUUCCCAAUGUACCAGUAUUGAUUGAUCCAAACACAGCCGAUCCGACUUAAGUUAAAGAGUGUUGCAUUUUUAGUUUUCACCAUUUAUUUCCUUAAUUAUGACUAUAUGCACAUGUUGUCAGAAUAUUGUUCUCUUCCAUAGUGAUUAUGCAAAAGCAUAUUAUUUUGAUGGGCCAAAUCUAAUCUUGGUUAAUUGUAGAUGAAAAACCUUAUACAAGUUGGAGAGCAGUUUGGUCUUGGUUUGGCUCCAGCUGGAGGUUUACAGGCAGAAAGUUCCGAUUAUAGGGUUGUGAAGUUGCAGUCUGGUACACAGACCCUUGUAUCAGGUUUGAUUGUUGUUGCGCUCUUUCAUUUUCUGCUAUCUGCAUAAAUAAAUCAUCCAACAUUAUUUUCACUUAUGAUUAAUAUCUAACUCCUCUAUGUAUAUGAUUGAAAGAGGCAAUCAGAGAGAGAAUACCUUUGCUCGCAGGUACAUGUUAUCAUUCUGCAGCUCAACUUCCUACAAAACAUGCACUUACAAUUUGUUAAUAAUAAGAAGAGGAUUUUUACCCUCCUCUUAUUAACAAUAAAGAUAUAAUAGUAGGGAAGAACAUUUACCCUCUUUUGCAUGAACUCAAUUUCUGCAACUAGUAAUUCGUUCUGGUAGAGUUUAAGAGUGUCAGCAAAUUAUCAUCAAUAUAACAUAUAUAUAUAUAAUAUAGAUAAUAUAAUAUAAUAUAUAUAUAUAUAUAUAUAUUCUACCACCCCCAAGGUGAAGGACAAAACCUUUUUGGAUCUGAUUCUACUAAUUCCUUUCUCGAGUCUUCCCUCCAGGUUCUUUAGUUCCUUGAAGGUCAAAGAGCUAAGUGACUCACCAACGAUAUGCCUAAAAGAAACAUCUUUGAUGAAACUUUUCCAGCAGAGAAUGAACAAAAGGAAACAAAACAACCAUUGAUAACAUCUUUAAGUGAGCUUGAAAAUAAAAAAUUAUAUACGCAUUGAUGUUACCUGUUCAUGUUCUGAGCAUCACGAAUUUGUCGUCGGAGUUUCGUGGCUUCUUGCUGGUAAAACUGAUGAGUUGAUUUUUAAAUAGAGAUAGUAUCAGAGUUAAGUAUCAGUUAUUUGACUGUUGACCAAAUAUAUAUAUAUAGUUAGAAACAGAAAUAGUAAAAAUGAUUAUGGAUAUAGACUUAUUUAUAUUUGAUGAACAGGUAUAUCCUUUUUACGAAUAACUGUAUCAAUUUGUUUACAAUAGUGGAUAAGCUUUUUUUUGUUAUUAACUGCUAUAAACAAAAUAUUUAAGUCGUAUUUGGUGCAUAAAAUGAUGAACAAGAUAAAAUGAUAAUUAUUUUAUAUUAUGUUAUUUUUUAUCUAAAAAAAUAAUAAGUAUUAUAAAGUAGAUUAAUUAUUUUUUUGAUAUAAGAUGAUUCAAUCAUUCUAAAAUGAAGAUAAUUAUUUUUAAUUUAUGAGAUUGAAUUUACAUAUCUUAUUAUAUCCUUAAAAAUUAUAUCAAUAAUUUAAAUUGUAUAAAUUUGAGAAAAGAUAAUUUUGAUCAAUAAAUAAAUUAUUUUAUCUUGAUCUUUGUACACAUCAAACAUAAAAUAAGAUAUUAUUAUUGAAUCUAAUUUUAUAUAUAAUAUCAUCUUAUCCUAUCUUACUAUAAUCUUAUAUACCAAAUAUAUUUUUAAAGAUAUAUAUUAGAACUUCAUUACAGUGUGAAUCUGUGUACUUCUUUAAUAAGCAGCAGAUCAGUUAUACCCUAAACCCAUAAAUGUAAGAAAAUAGUUUUUUAUUCCCUAAUUCCCUUCCACCUCUUUCCUUUCUGUUUGCUUUCUACCAAACACAAGAAACACAUUUUCAAGAAACAAUUGUUGAUAGGAAAUAUCCCAUAUAUCCAGAGCGAGUUGCAAAAUCAUGUUAGCAGUACUUUCAUGAAAAAAAAUGAUAGAAUUUGUUGAUUAAAUACGUGCUUGCUAUCUUGUUCGAACUCGGGGUAAGUGUUAGAUCUUAAUCUGUAUCUGACACAAGUGCAUUAAUUUUUUUUAAAAGUUCUUAUUUUUUAUAUAUUUUAAGUAUUGAACAUAUGUAUUCAUGUUUAUCAGAUAUCUGUCAAAUAUAAAUACUUCAAAACAAAAUGAAGAGACCGAAUAAUAUACACAAAAUUAUCAAGAAGGCUCCCUUGAAUGGUGAAUUUCCUGUCCAAGUGGGCUAUAAUUGCUCAAUAUCAUUUCUUUAUAUCUCCUCACAAGUAGAAGGGAAUCUUAUCGAUCCCUUUCUUUUCCUUCCAUGUUUAAGGCACUUCUAGGUCACGUUUUCUAAUCUAGAUUUAUAUGCUUACUAUUUACAUGACCCUUACUAAGAGUUUGGCGGUGAGAUUGACUCCUAUAAGAUUAAAAAUAGUAGUUGUGAUGAGAUUGAAUAUUGUACCAGUAAAAUUAAAUUAGUAGUAAGAUGUGUUUGGAUACAAACAUAGUAAUAAUAGUACAGUGAAAUCUAGUAGAAAAAAAUUAUAGAAAACAUUAGAUUAAAGGUAGUAUAUAAUAAAAAUUUUAAAUUAUUUGAUAUUUUUGAAGUUAAUAAUUAAUUAAAAAUUACUAAAAUUAUUUUUGUAUCAAAUCACAGUUUUAUUAAUAAAUAAUUAAAUGGAGUAGUAGAAGUAGGAAAUUUAGUUUUGUUCAUUUUUUUUUCUAAAUACAGGGUGCCAGGAGAGCUGCUUAUGGUCUAAAUGGAACUUGCCUGUUGGGUUUCCGUAUUGGUGUCAAUCUAGCUAGAUUCAACGCAAGAUCAAUUUUUUGGAGAAAAGCCCAACCGAUAGUGAAUCAUGAAGUUGUCGGCAAACAAGGUUCGAGGAAUCAGAGAUUUGGAUUAAGCAAUCAAAAUUAGGGUGGGACAGUCUCAAGGCAUUUUGCUGGUGAUGAUGUUGCUGUCAAUUGCAAAACAUAUCUUCAAGCUUUUAUGCAAAAUGACAUUUCAAAUACGUGGAACGGGUUCUCGACGAUAUUGACCAUAAGGUUGCUGGUACCGUUAUUGAGGAUGGUUAUGUGACUGUUAAUAUAAAAUCGUGUCCUAGAGUCGUGGAUGAUGAAGUUUUGCACAAGUUGGAUAUAUGCUUGAUUGGAGUCACUAGUGGAUACUAUAAAAUAGGGAGGCUUAUGGAGAAUUUUAAAAUUCAAGGGGUGUUUGAUAUCAUUGUUAAAAAGAAUCUCAAGUAGGCAAUUCUUAAUUCAAUUUGAAGAUGAAGAAACAACGAAUACAAUGAUUGGAAGGUCAUGGCUAAAAGAGUGGUUUGAUGAAGUUGAACCAUGGUCAGAGAAUUUCUAUUAAAAUAUCGAACUACGUGGCUGACUUGUUUUGGAGUACUUAUUCACACCUGGAAUUAUUCAACAGUCAAGAACAUUGCUAAUAUCUGGUGUGAGUUAUUGAGUUUUGAUGGUGCAACACUAAAGUUCCAAGAUUUUAGUAGGGGAGCUAUACUGAUUAUGACUAAUCAAUUGGACAAAAUUGAUGAAGUUAUUUAUAAAGUAUAGUAGAAAUUCCUUUCCAGUUACGGUCACUGAAAUUGGUUUGGAGUUUGUCUCAUUAUUUCAUUGCCAUUGUAAAAUUUCCAUUGCUGAAAACACUGGUAAUGAAAGUAACUCAUACUUUGAUCAUAGUGUUUGGUAAAUUCCAGUGUUGAAGAAUUCAUGAAAGAUGAACAGGUCAUCUGUAAAAAGGUAAAAGUGGUAAGAAUGCUGGAAUCAAGAUUUCAAUGAUCGAGGUUGUUAUUGAGACCAAGGAUAGGUGCAUGUUUCUCGAAAAGUGAGGCAUCGAACACGAGAUAUUGGCCUGGAUAUAGUAAUUAUGGAUGAGUUCCAAAUGAAGGUCAUACUGUAAAGAAGAAGAAGCUAGGUAGGAAAAGUAGCUCAAAUGAUCAAGCACUUUCGAUUGGGUUUAAUGGGGAUGAGGAAAAAGGGUCUGAAGUUGGGAUUAAUGGUUCAAGAGACCAAGAACCUAGUAAGGGUGGUCAUUUUAAAAGAUGUAUGUCUGGGCUAAUAAGUUUGGAGGGUGAAACCCAACCCAUGUCUCCUUCAUUACAGUCUAAAUAUCAAGUUGAAAAGACAGGGUUGUCUGACUCAGAAAAGGCAUGAGAGAAAGACCCAAGCAUUGGAGGAUAUUGAGGAGGCUCCGCACAAAAAAAAAAAAAAAAUUCCUUGAAGGCAAAGAACAUAGGUAAAAGGUCUAGGAUGUAAAAUAAAAGCUUCUAAUUCUAAAACUGGCAGCAGUAAUUUCGCAAAUGAAUCCCCUUUUGACGGAAAUUUUGGAAUCGAUUGAAUGUUAUUGGUAAAGAGGCUUGAGCGACUUGGGAGGUAGGGGAAAAGUUAGGUUUGAAGGCCUAGUUGAUAGGUUAAUUGAAUUGGAGGCUAGGGAUAUGAGGCAAUCCUAAUUGGCUCAGGUUUAUUUUCUACACUUUAUUGUAAUUUUGUCGGAUUUGGGUUGUUGUUAUUUCUUUGUGUUUUGAAUUUGAGGAUUUUAUCAGGGAUUAGAGGUUUGGGUAGUCAUGUGAAAGUUGAGUUUUAAAGACUUUGGUGAUUUUUAAUGAAAUUGUGAUGAUGUUAGUACAUGAAACUUAUGUUUUUUGGCUUGUCACUAAGCGGAUGAGUAUUUUGGAUCUUCUGAGGUAUGUGGAGUGACAUUAAGUAGUGCAAUUUAAGGAUACUAAUAGGUUGUCUAGUAUAUUGAGAUGGCAUUAUGGGUACGAUUACAUGGGGCUAGAUUAUUGGAGGAUAUCAUAACAAUAUUUUUAGAUGGCUACUAUACCAUUUGAUUACGGUGAUGGUCGUGAGUUGUGGCCUACCAGGAUUGCUGAUGAAGAAUUGAUUACUACGGAAGCCAAAGCUUCUUGGAUUUUCAGGGCUGGUUCUCUAUUGUUUGGGGUCCUUAGAAUAAUGAUAUGUCACUGUUGUGAUUGAUUUCUUUUCUUGGGAUCGAUUAUUGGCAGUUUGGAGCUUUAACAUGUGGGUAUGCUUUGAUUUUUAAAUGAUGAUUGGUAUGGUUUAAAUUGCUGUUUAUUAAAUCUUUGGUGAAGGUUUACUGUUCAGAGUAUUAAAAACAAGCAUGAAACAACAUUUGGAAGUUUUGGGCCAUCGCAAGAUGAGUUUGGUGGAAUUCAAUUAGUUGUGCAUAUUAUCAAAUUUAUCAUAGCUAAUCAGUUUGUAGUUUAAGCAGCAAAGUUGGGAUGGUUUUCUUGUUUAGUUGGUGAAAUUUGAUUCCAUUGUUAUUGUUAAUUGGUAAUGGUAUAUAUCAAAUGAAAUUUUUUAAAAAAAUUUAAAUAUAUAUUGACUUUUCAACUUUUUUAUUUACUAUAUUAUAUUUUUAAUUUUUAAUUUAUAUAUAAAUUUUAUAUAUUAAGUGUUAUUCACUUUAUUUAAUUCCGGAUGAAUAUAUAUUUAUUAUUUUUUGAGAAAUUUAUAAAUUGUUUAUUUGUAUUAGAGUUUAAGGUUUUUAAAGGACAUUUUAGGACAAACAUUAAUUACUUAAAAGUAAAAUUGAAUAAAAAAAUAAUAACACGAUAAACAUGAAAUGCUAGUUUCUAAAUUUAUUAAGGUUAUUUUAAUCUUAAAAAUUUAAAUAUAUGAAUAAAAUUAUACUAAAAAAUUGAUAAGUAUAAAAAUAUUCAAAGUAAAAUGUGAUAGUUAAGGAUGAUAAAAUAAUUUGUACAUAACGUGCUUAAUUUUGCUGAAUUGCAGCACUGAUUAAAUCCAAACGGGGCAUAAUAGACUCAACCGGUUAUAUAUGCAAAUUUUUGUCAGCCAAACAUGCAACAGAUUGCCUGAAACUGAUUGCUCAAGUAUAAUAUGGAUUCUAAUUUAAGGUGAAAGUAAGUGAAUUGGUCCAGAUUUCUUGCAUUUAAUCUCGUGAACAUGAAUGUCAUUGUGCAACAGCAAUCCUUAUAAAUCUUCAAUAAAACUACUGCUAUAAUGCUUGUGGGAUUAAGAAGUUUAGGCAGUUUAUGAAAUAAAACAACAAGAAAAAUAUUUUACUAUUUUAAUGUGAUUAUGUAAUAUUGCAUAUUAAAUAUUUUUUUUCAUGUGAUUAUGUUAUAUGGUCAGAAUGAAAAGUAUAUUUAUUGAUAUGAAAUAACUUUUUUUAGAAUAUUUUCUCUUCUUGAACGCCUACGAGCACAUCAAUGUUGUCUAGCAUUAUAUAGAGCAAAUUAACUAAUGUAAUAAUUUUCUUACUUUUAAUAAAUUGAAAAUAUAUAUUAAUCUCAUUUUUUUCCUUUUACUUUUAAUAAUGAGAUCAAAAUCUAAAGGAGUAUUAGAGAUGCACAUGCAUAUGCAUGGACGUACACACUUGGUCAUAUACUUACAAUUCAUCUCCUACACAAAGAUUACAUAUAGACUAUAUCUCUAUCAGAACUCUAAAGAUCAAAAUGCAGUCUAUAUUUAUGGACAAAUUAACUUGUUUACUAAGUAAACUUGUUUAUCAAGCGGUAUCUUAGCAAAUCUCACAAAUAUUUCAAAAUAUUUUUUAUUAAAUCUUUUGAGAUUUGAGUUAAUAUUUUAGACGAACUGAAUUUUUGGUCUUUAUGUACAAUUUUCACAAGCUUAUGCCAAGAAUUGAUAAAAGCCAAGACAAUAACAAAAACCAGCUCAUAACUACGUAUGAGUAUAUGACUAACACAGGCACUGAACAGUGUCAUUUCAACAUUCAGGUAAAACCCAUCCUUGUAAAAUCCUGAUGAUCUUAUUCCCUUAUUGUAGUUAUGUAAGUUCAAGGAUAAGAAAGAAUCAUGGGAGUUAAGACAGAGGAAAACAGAAGACUGAGUCUCCAAGGAGCCUUUGGUGACUAUACUGCCCGAUGUACAUGUAUGCUGAGUAAAUAGAUAAAGUUAUUAUCUGCAUAGACUUGUAUGCUUUUUUCCGUUCACUUUUCUUAAUUUACCCUUUUUUUUUUCUGUUUAUGAAUAAUAUAUAUUUUUUUUUGGAGCAGUUCUUGGUUUGUAAGCUAUAUAAUGCAGAAUAUUUUGCAGAAAAGGGUCCUAAAGGACAUGGAAUAUAUGAGCUGUAAAAAAGACAUUACCUGAAAGGAUGAAAUGAAAGCAUCUUAAGAUUUUCUUAUGAAAGAAUGUGAACCAUUUGUUCAAUGAAAGACCAUUAAAUUUACUUGAUUAGCUAUAGUGAACUUGCCUGAGUGUUAGCUUCAGCAACAGAUCCUGGGUUUGAUGCAUCUGAACAUGCUUUCUUGUAUCUGUCAAUUGUUGCUCUGACACUGCAAAAUUAUCAACAGUCCUUCAGGUUAUUUGAAUGAGAUUGUACACCGUCUGAUCCCAAAAGCAUCAUUUCGUUCAUCAUAUGUUUAUACCCUUACUAUAGUACUUGAGUUUCUUUGUUGCAUAUACGUAACAGAAGAAAGUAGUCAAAUAUUCUGAGUUCAAUUUCCUAAUUAGAGGACUAUAUGAGGAAAAAAAAAAAACCCAUUUCACUCAAUGCUGGCGGAGGAAAGAUAACCACAUCAUUUUGUUAAAAUUCUAUGAUCCAGCCAACAGCCGCUGUUAGUAAAGUGCUGAAUUUUUGGUUCCAAAUGAUAAGGGUUCAAAUUCUGAUAGUCUUAAGUAAAAAAAAAGAAAAAAAUUCUAUGAUCUAGCAAAUAGAUUUUCAAAUUCACUUGGAAAUUAAAGAAAAUUAUUUUACAAGAUCAUCUAAGAAAGAGCAAAAGUGAUUCCAAGGAACAUAACACCAUAGAAUUAUUGCAUACUGCUCAAGCAUUUUACAAUUAUAAAUGUCAUGUUAAAAUUGUAAACAUUUGACGAGUGGCUUCUUAUACAAUAAUAGCAAAGAUGGAAUAAGAGUACCGAAACAAUGGACAAUAUUUUUGUAUUGACUACUGAAUAUCUAUCAGGCUUUCUUGUCAUGAUAAAAGGCCAAAGAAUUUGACACUCUCCAACAUAAAGGGCAGAAAGAGACAACUGCAAGAUCAAUACUCCAGAUAACCUCACGAUAAGUCUUAUACAUUUCUUAUUAGAAAUUCAUGCCUUAGAGUGAGAUGUUGAAAUCAUUCCUGAGGGUAAUAUGAAGACUUUUUGUGUGUAUAUGGACAAAACAAAAUGCAAAUGAUGCAAUAUAUUUAGUAUUUUUAGUAGUACAACAUCUCAAAAAACCAGAUACUCCAGGUCAUACAUAAUGUAGACAGAGAAUAAGAAAGAAAUAGUUUAUUGAACAAUCAGGAGUUGCUUGCACCAGAAUAUGUUUCACUUUCAUCUUUGAAACCCUUCUUUUUUGCCAUUCAUUUUGAAACUAAAUGUAGCUAUUUUCUCUGUCCACAAUCAUCAUCUUGGACUUACCUCAAGUUGAUACGAGUCUUUCUAUAAUCUUAAUCUCAAUCAUAAUCUCUAAUAAUCUAUGCAAUUAAUAUCUAUAAUCUAAGUAUAAAUAUAUACAUAUAUAUAAUCUAUAUUUAUAAAAUAUAUGGAAUCCUUUUAUCAAAAUAAAAAUAAAUAUGAAAGCCUUUUGCAGUGGAUCAUCUUCUCUUUUCUUUUCUUUUCUUUUCAUACAAAUGAUUUCUACUAAAAAAAAAAAGAUCUCUUCAAGUGGUCUACAAAUAUCUAAUGACCAAUUUCAAGAGACAACUUCAAAUUGAUCUAUACCUGUUUUAUGUUAUAAACAUCACUAUUGUCCAUAUGGCUGAUGCCAAUUUUACUUGAAAUUAGUAAUUAAUCUAAUUUUUUCACUCUAUAUAUAUCUAUGUCUUAGAAACAAAAAAUAUCCUUGAGUUGCUCUUAUUUUUAUACCAAAUCCUUCAUUGUUUACAUCAAACUGUGUUUGUAUUUAUAUCAUGUUGAGCUAGAAUAAGCCAAUGAGAUAUUAUCUCAAUGAUAAAGAGGAGAUAUUGAAACUUUUAAGUUUUAUCAUGUAUAGGUUUUAGUCAAACUUUAUGUUUAUUUUAUUUGGUUUGUUUGUUUGAUUAAUUUGUCUAUAGAGUUUUUUUUUUGUCUCUCUCUCUUUAUAUAUAUAUAUAUACACACACUACUUUUUAGUCCCGUGCUAUGAACAUGAUAGCCAUAAUGUAUGUUAGAUGAUAUAAUUUAUAAGGUAGAAAAGGAAAGAAAGAAGAAGUUUAAGUGUAGAUUACUUGAAAACAAUGAGUAAAUGUUCUUAAUUUGUUAUCUAUAGUUUAAUACAUAAUAAUAAGAUAAAGUUUUAAAUCAUAAUAACUUAUUCUGCUAAUGCAAAUAUCAAAAUAAAAUUAAAUGAAUAUAUAUAAUAUAUAUUAAGUCAAUAUUUCUAACAGUUAAUAUUAUAAAUGAUCCUCCAAAUUAUAAUGAAAUGUUUAAUAUUAUACUUAAAUUUUAAAAACUCUAUGUAUCCAAAUUAUGAAUCUAUCAAUUAACAUGGCACUUAGAAAGUUAUUUGUUCGUCAUAUAUUAUCAUUUGAAACUAAUCACGUUAGGAGUAAAUACUAUUUUAAUUAACAGAUUCAAAGUUUAAGCACCACAUAAAAAAUUUAUAAAAUUUAGGUAUCAUAUUAAAUACUUCACUAUAAUUAAAAGUCAUUCAUGACAUUAAUCCAAACUCAAAUUAAAUAUAAAUAAAUUUAACACAUUUUAAAUUUUAAUUUAAUUAAAAAUUAAUAUAAUACACGUAAUUAUUAAAUUUGAAUAAAAUCACAUCUUACUCUUACAAAAUAAUUCAAAGAAAAUAUUCAUUCAAUAUUUAAUUUUCAAGAACAUACCAAAUGAUAAUUUAAUAUAAAUUUAUUUUCAAAAUUCAAAUUUUCUCGGUUAAAUUUUUUUAGUUUAUCAAACACUACCAAGUCUUUAUAUUUGUGCAUUUUGAAAUUUCUUAUUUGAUUUUUUUUCUCUUUUCACUAAACUUCUUCUUUAUACAAUUUUUUUUUCUUCCCAUUACUUAUAAAAACUUUGUAAGAAAAUAAGCUAAUCACAAUCCUUCUUAAUAAUCUAAAAAAUAUUACUAAUUAUUUUUAAUGUCAAUAAUGUUUUAAUUUAUGAUUCUUUGCAAUUGUUUACAAUUCAAUUUAGAUAAAUGUGUUCUCUAACAUUUGUAUAAAAAUAAGGAGAUUUUAGAAUGAACCCUAAAUGAAAAAAUUAGCAUUUUUAUUUGUAUGGAUGUGUAUAAAUUAGCAUUAACAUGUAUCAAUAUAUAUAUAUAUAUAUAUAUAUAUAUAUAUAUAUAUAUACCAAAACUCCUCACCUUGUUAGUGCUAGUCCAUCAUUGUCACUUAAGCAAAUACAUCGAUGCACACAAUUUAUAAUUUUUUAAUAGUUAUAAACAGAUUGAUAUUGUUAAAAUUAAAUUGGGAUGGUUAUUUUUUAUUGUUUCAAUCUUUUCAAUUUUUUUCAUUAUUGUUACUUAUUUGUAUUGAUUGUUUUUAUAAAUGUUUUAUCUUAUUUUUUUGUUUCUUAUCAAAAUUUUUACUUCAAGUUAAUGUUGUAAAAUUGAAAAUUAAUUAAAAAUUUUUAACACUUUAAUUUCUUUGAUGUGUUUGAUAAUUUAUCUAAGGAAAGCAAUUGAUGGAAUAUUUUUAUGAAAAAAAUUUGAAAAAUAUAAUGUAGAUAAAACCUUUUUAGUAUAUUCAACAAUGUCAUUUAAGGAAAUUUUUAUAAUUUAAUUACGCUAUUGUUACAAAAAAAAAAUAGUGACACUAAUAUUAAAAAAGCCCUUGAACUUUUUUUUUUUAUUUAGAUAAAUUCUUAUAUUUUUAUUACAUCCAAAUAAAUUAUCGAUCUUUAAUUUGCACCUAAAUAAACUUUUAACUUGUAAUUGUAUCCAAAUAAGCCAUAACUUUUAAUUUAUAUCUAAAUAAGCUCUUAACAUAAAUUAUUUUUUUUAUUUGAAAUAAGGGUUUAUUUGGAUACAAAUAAAAGAAUAAGAGCUUAUUUUUAUAUAAUAGAAAUAUAAAAUUUUAUCUAAAUAAAAUAAUAAAAUUCAAUUACUUUUUUAAUAUUUUAGCCUAAAUAAAAUUCAUUAAUACACUUAUAAUAUGUGAAAACAUACAUGAUUACAAUAUGCAAACAUUUCACUCUUUUAGGAUUCAUUGUCCACAGUUUCAUCCUUUUUAUCGUCUUCUAUCUUUUUUUUUUUUUCCAUCUUUAUAGUAUUCUUUAAAAAAAAAAAAAAAACUAAAAAUAUACCAAUAAUGAACGUGUCAUGUUGGAUAUACAUGAAUUAUUGAGUUAAUUUGAUUAGUGAGUUGAUGAAUUAUGAUAUAAAAUAUAAGUGAAAAAAUAAUUAAAUUAUAUUUUCUAUGUACUUAAUCUUUCUCGUUCUAUUUAUGUUAUGCAAACAUACAGGUGAAACAUAUCAUGUAUGCAUCACAUUAUUCAAUUCAAAGUAUUUUCGAUUUUCUGUCUCAAAAUUCUUAUUAUUUUUCUUAUUGGAUUUCAUACAACAUUACAUCAUUUUAUUUAUUAUUUAUUUUUAUUUUAUGUGUAAAUAAUAUUUGCUGUCUCAAUAAGAGUCUACUAAUAAUAAAAAAAUUAUUUAAAUUAAAAUUUAUAAAAAUUUUAUUAUAAGUGUUUUAGUUAAUCACUUUUAAUACUUAUAGAAUUAAAAUUUUAUUAAAACUAUUUUAGUCAAUAACUUUUAAUAUUUUUAAAGCUCAGACUUUUAUAUAUAGCUAAUAUAUGCUAUUUUUUUUGUUUCAGGAGAGGGUAUAGCCCUUAUAAGAGGAAAGGGGGGAGAAGAUUCUGGCUCAAAACUAUUACUUUUAUGUUCUCAUAAAACUUAAAAAUUUCAGCUUUAAUUAUUUAAAUUAUCUUAACAACAUUAUUGGAAAAUAGUCAAUUCAAAAAAUUUUAGUAUUUAUUUAUCGAAUUGUAAUUAAUAACAAGUUGGAAAAUAAAAAAUUGAUUAAAAAAUUAAAUCUAGCUAGGACAAUAUAUAUAUGUGGGGUGGAGAGAUUAUGAUGUUAUCUAGCUUCAUAUCCUUAAAUCUUAUAUGCAAUCAACAGAUUUUAACAUGCAUUUCUAUACUUAGAACUAUAUGGGAUCAAGGGAUCAUGAGAAAAGAAGAAGAAAAAAAAAAGAAGGAAAGAGAGCUAGAACAAAUAUUGGCCAAAUGGCAAGGCCAAGCACUGCAGAACAAAAAAACCAGGGAGGCAGCUGUUUCCUUAAUAUUUUCGAGCUACUGAUUGGUUGCCUGUGCCACUCUGGGACAAGAUACCCCAACAUGAUUGGCUGGAAACCCUUAACUUUAUGUAAGAUGAAAAGUAUCACUGGCUAAGCCAUUCCACAACAUGUAAUGACCAGAAAGAUCCUAAAAUACCCAGAGAUCCUUUCCUUGGUUUGAUGCAGAAAUUAAAAUAAGAUAUACAAAAUGAAGAUUUUUGAAAAGACUUUGUAACUUUGGGUGGCAGUGAACCAUGAACUGCGUGACUGAUUUGUAAUAAUGAUAAUCGAAACAGUUUCAGGCUGUGCCCAAUGCUGCACGUCCAAGAAAGUGCAGAGAACCUCAUUGGUUCGUACCCUUUGUUUUCCCCCUCUCUGAUCCCCCAUCUCUCCAUCACUUCAACUUUUUAUCUCUCUCAUAUUGCCAGUAUAUAUUUUGUCUUCUAUUUUUCUAUAUUUAUCUUGAAUAUUUAUACAUAAUAACACAAAUGCUUGACUUUUGUUGAUAUUGUUUAUAAAUUUGCAUAAAUGAGUUUGGUGAGAUCUUUUUCAUAUCUUUCUUUUUAGCGUUUGUGACAUAGAAAUGGUGAAGCAUAUCCAGCCAUUAAACUUGGGAAGUUUGUUUCCCAAAAUAUGUAACUUUUUCUCUCUUUCCCUAAGUAAAUAAUUAAUAAAAAAUAAAAACCUUUCCAUUAGAUUUGGCCCAAACAAAACUAUCAAUCUAUAGAAUUCGUUGGUCUAAUAGUAGUCUGUUUUUGUUGUUUAAAAAAAAAAAAAAAAGAGAUUUUGAGGCUUUCACCUUACAUUUUCAUGAUCGUUGUGACAUGAGAACGUUGUAAAAUUUAAGCAGUAUCUUGUUACAUAAUGAAAAAGGUGAUCAAAGAAUAUUUCACCAUUUGAGAUUUAAAAAAUAAAAAAUAAAAAGGAAUAGCAAAAAGAGAAACCAAAUAAAAGGAAUCAUUGAAACCAAUGUUGUCAGUAGUGACGAACUGAAAAAUCUUGCCUGACGUGACCAAAGAUUCGUAUAUUGUAAAACUAAGACAAAACCCUAGCUUUAUCCAUCCAAAAUGGUAAGGAAAAAAUGGAGUAAAACCAGGAUUCCUUUUUGAUUUGUGUAAGAAAUUUGUUCUGGGAAUUUAACAAUAGGUAUCCGUCUCAGUUUUGAAACCCUAAUCUUCAAGUUUAACACUUCUUCUAACCAAAAAGAAGUUCAGAAGAUUAAUUGUUUGAGAAAGAAACAAAAGCCAGAUACCAAACAUUAGUGUAUAAAUUCCUUUUUUUUUAAAUAUUUUUGACAGACUAAGAUUAGAUUUGAUGAGAGAAAUACCCAUUUGGGAAAAAACCCUAAUCUAAGGUCUGAUUGAGUGACUGGUUUUGUCAUACAUCCAUUAGACCAUUACCUUAAACUCUGUCAGCUGAUUGAAAUUUGACUUGUGACGACAAACAAAAGGGACAACAAAAGACUACUCUAUGAAUCUGAGUUUUGAAAUCUGAAGUUGGGUUAACAUUUUCCUAAGAAUUAUUUAAACAAAAGAGAUGGAAGAUAUGAGGAAUGGACUAAUGAGAGCGUGACACAGUUUGUGUUUGUAGCAGUCGUUUCCUGUAUGUCAAAGAUGACAUGUGGAGCGAUAGUAAGAAAAGAGGGUCUGCUUUAACACAUAUGCUGCAUAUAUCAUUAAAACCCUAGUUGUUGCUCUUACAACUACUACUUUUACACCCAUAUGCUGCAUAUAUCACCUAUAUGCAGCAUAUCUUUCAAACAAAGAGAAAUGAAGAAAAACUAUCUAAUUGAGGCUUAGAAAAGUACAACAAACAGAACAUAAGAAACCAGGUAAAUCUUUGUUAGAUGAACUCAAUCUUUUUAGUUUAAUAGCCAAGAAAAGAAAUUUCUCAACUGCAAAAAUCCUAUGUUUUACUGCAAAAGAAAAAGUCCAUUAAAAAGAUGUCUUUAAUAGAAUAGAAGCCUAUAAGCAUUAGCAUACGUAACUCCAAACAUGAAAAAUAAAAAAGAAAAACUGAAGAAAUUUUAUUGAUGAAUCAACUGAAAAUGAAAAUAGAGACGGCCAACAUAGUUAGAAGAAGAAAGGAAUUGAAGCAAAGAAAAGCAAAGAAAGAAGCAAACCUGUUGUUAGCAUACUCAUAGAGGCGACCACGGCUGGAGAAGAUUAUGAGAGCAACCUCAGCAUCACAAAGCACAGACAACUCAUAGGCCUUUUUGAGCAGUCCAUUGCGGCGCUUGCAGAAGGUGACUUGUCGAUUAGUCGUGUUCUCGAUCCGCUUAAUCUCAAUUUUACCUCUUCCCAUUUUUUUCUGGGAAGAGCUUUCCGGUUCUUGAUUUGGAAACUCCGUGGUUGAAAGCUGAAAAACAAUCAAACCCCAAAUUUUGAUAAACUUGAAUUACAAAGAAAACUACCCUUUUGAGAGCCCUUAGAUGAAUUCGGACAACACCAAAAACACCUACUUAUACUAAUUGGUCACGUUAGAUUUUGGUUUAUGUGCUCUAACCUGGCAAGGAGACCAAGGAAUUGACUUAGGAAAACAAAGGAAGGAGAAGUUCUUGAAGUCCUACUCUUCUCUUUCUUUUGAUCAAUAUGGUUUAAUUAGAGCAACAGUUUUGAGUUGCAAAAAAUGGAAGUACGCUGCUUUGGCAGAUGGGCAUUUAUAGUCAGAAAAUUGACCCUUUAACAAUCACCCAACACUAUUUUCUUUAGUACAUUUGUGUUGUAGAAGAGGAAUAGGAGAGAAAGGGUGUUGGAACGCAAAAGAAGGAUGCUUGAUGUUCACUUUGAGAUUCCAUUAACCCUCCAUUUAUUCUUGUAUGGGAAAAAGUGAAGGGUGAUGAUAGAGGGUAUUUUGGAAAGUGACUAGCAUUCUACCAAUGGUCUUGAAUGAGACAUUGUGCUUAGCUGCCCUCAGAAAAUGAAAUUGAAUUCAAUGCACUGCAGCAGAAAAAGCUAUCAAAAUCAAAAUUAGAUGGCCUCCCAUGCUAUAGUUUGCCUUGUGAAAUUUUGGGGCUGGGCCCUUUAUUCUAGUAUUUUAUUCGGAUCCUCAACCCUUGGUUGAAACUUGAAACUUUUUGCCGUCCCUCCUUCUCAUUCUCUCUCUCUCUCUCUCUCUUACAUUAUUAGAAUUUUUGUUAAUGUAUCUGCUAAGGGCUGUGAACCACACCCUGUGACGUAACUGAGGGUGACUCCCAUGUGAAGUUCUGGUCAUCUUCCAUUCCUGGGUUCGUUUACUGUAGAUUUGGAAUGGGCAUGAUUGUGUCAUAUUUAUAAUUUAUUAAAUUCGUGUAAAACAUAAAAAAUUUAUAUUAAAUUCAUAUCGAUAUUAUAAAUAUAAAUUUUUUUUUAAUUUUUGUCAAAAUACAUAUAUAAUUUUUUAAAAAAUUUUAAAUCAUAAUAUUUUGAUUAUAUAUUUUUUAUAUUAUUUUCGUAUUAUAUCAUUAAGUCGUUUUUAAAAUUAUUGAAUCAAAUUUAUGGUAAGAACAGAAGAGACCCUUUGAUAAUUUUGCUGCACUCUAUUUCACCUGUUUGAAGAGAAAUGUAGAAGCGUGGGUUCCUCAACUUUCAAGACCCAAAUUGCCAGUACUCAUUAUCAUUGUUGCGAGCACCAACUAAGCUCCAGCUGGCAGCAAGCCGUACUAACUAAAUUCUUCUAGUAUAUAGUUUGUUUUUGAAAUCAAGCAAAGCAUCGAAGCUAAUCAUUCAUAUAAUGUUAUUAACUUGUUCUAGUCUAGAAUUCUAGAUUCUAGAGAUCUAGUGCAUGUGAAAAUGUUUGUAUGAGUGCAAUAUUUAGCCUGCAUACCAUAAUUCUUUUCCUUCAAUGAACAAAAAUAAAAAGGCCUGGUCUCUACAGUUCAAGUUCGGACGAUCGGUUUCACUUUUUGCAGAGACCAAUAAGUUAAAUAAAGCCUUAUAAGAGUAGAGGGAUGGUGCUUAUUGAUGGGGAUGGCCACCAGCAAUCAUUCCUUUUCUAUGCAACAAAAUGUAUGACUUGUUCUGCAUAGAGUGCAUAAUGUGAUACAAAUGUCAUAUAUAUGUUGGCAGAUCCAAAUAACUGGAUAGAAGUCACAACUCCAUUGAAGAGUAUACUAAGGCCAUUUUUUUUCUGAGGUGGGUACCAAAGUAAAUUAAACGUUUUAGGUAAGACAAGGAUUUUGUUUUCUGGCAAUGAACUAAAAGGAAAAAUGCUUCAAAUUACCUAAGAGAAAUUUUAUUUGUACCCAAACCUUUAUCCUAGUGGUUAAAGGUGCUUGAGGAGACAUCAAUCAAGGGCCUGGUUUCGAAUUAGACCUCCAACCUUCUCUUUACUUAUACUAAGACUUUGUCAUUUUGAUAUAAUAAAAAAAAAAUAAUUUAUUGACAGACAUGUAUGAUUUUACUUAUUGCAAUCAGCUUACAAAUUAUAGUUUAAAUUAAUUUACUUAAUUUUAAGAGAAAAGAUGAAGUUUGAUUUAGGUGGUUUAGGGUGUUUGGAAAGUGAGAGUUACCAACUAAAUUUAUUUAGGAAUAAUAAAGUAAUUUUUUUUAAUAAAAAUUUAAAUUUUCUGCUACAAUUAACAAAAUUGUUGCUGCUUAUAAAAUUUCUCUAACCUUAAUUAAAACCUGACUGCAUUUUCACAUGUUAUUAAGAAAGUUUGAGAUAAUGAGGUAAAGCGCAUUUUGUAAUUUCAAACCAUUUAGUAGGAUUUCAUUUUGAUUUAUAAAUUUUAAAUUAUUUUAUGAUAGUCCCAAACAUUUUAAAAAGAUAUCAAUAUGGUCCCUAAUCAAAUUUUGCAGGAGAAUUACAACCUAGUUUAAUAGAUUCAGAAUUAUUACUGUCUAUUAUCAUACUAUAAUGUAUUUAUUAAAAAUAAAUAAACUUUUUAGGAAUGAAACAUAACUAUAGUUUUUGCCUUAAUUUAAAAAAUUCAACUUCUGGGAAAAUAGUAAUUUAUUUUCCUUCAUAAUAAUUAUAGAAAUUUUAUUUAUUUUUUAAUAAAUACAUUUUGUUAUGAUAACAAAAAGUACUAAUUCUAGAUCCACCAUGAUUUUAUUUUCUUUUUUUAUUCUUAUUUUAUCAAAAUUUAUUUUCUCUAUAUUUAUAAAUUUUGAUCAAAGAAUAUAAGAUUAAAUCUUAUUAAAUAUAAAGCUAGAACUAAAAAAAUAAAUGAAACAUACCAAAAUGAUGUUUUAACACUUGACUAAAUAGAAUUAAACAAUAAUUAAUAAUCUUAGAAAAAUUUUUGUAAAUUAUUACUAGUAUAAUUUGAAACUCACUAAAAUUAUGCCAACCUAAAACAAAUAACUUAUUUACUACUAUAAUCUCUUGAGAAAAUAUUUUAUUAGAAAUAAUUCAUUCAAGAUCACUUAACAAAUAAGUGUAAUUCUCUUGCUUUUAAGUUUAAAGUUAUGGUUAUAAUGUAAGUUCUAUUAAUUAAGUCCUUUAGCAUAUACAAGCCUUUUAAUUUCUUUUUUCAGAAAAUAAAUGUCAACCACCCGAGUGUAGAAAUAAUUUGGAUAUGUUUCAUUUCUUUCUUUUCUGUUAAAAAUAAAUUCUAACUUUAUUUUUAAUAAGAUAUAAUUUUAUAUUUUAUCAAAUUUAUAAAUAUUGGGAAAAUAAAUUUUAAUAAAAUAAAAUAAAGGAAAUAAAAUCAAGGUAAUAGAUUUAGAAUUAUUAUUCUUUGCUAUCAUACAAAAAUAUAUCUAUAAGAAAAAAAUUUUAUAAUUAUUACGAAAGAAAAAAAAAGUACAAUUUGCCUUUGAUUUUAAGUUGAAUUUUUAAAAUAAGAUAAAAUGAUACUUCCGUUUCCUUCUAAAAUUUUUAUAAAUUUUAUUUUUUUAAUAAAUAUAUUUAAAUUAUUUGGGUACAUUUCAUUUCUUUCUAUUUUGUUAAAAAUAAUUUUUAGUUUUUAAUAAGAUUUAAUUUUAUAUUUUUAUCAAAAUUUAUAAAUAUUGGGGAAAUAAAAUUUAAUAAAAUAAAAUAAAGAAAUGAAACAAUCAAGUUGAUUGACCCAUAAUUAUUAUUUUUUGCUAUCAUACCAAAAUAUAUUUACCAUAAAGAAAAUAAAAUUCUCAUAAUUAUUACGAAAGACAAUAAAUUACUAUUUUUAACCAUGAUUUUAAGUUGAAUGUGUAAAAUUAAGGGAAAAAAUAAUAGUUUUAUUUUCUUUUUAAAAACUUUUGAAGUCUCAUUUAUUUUUUAAUGAAUACAUUUUAGUAUAUUAGUAAAGAGUAAUAAUUAUAAUCUAUAACCUUAAAUUGUAAUUCUUUUGCAAAAUUUGGUCAUAGGGCAUUUUGACACCAUUUUAAAAAGUUUAAGACCAUUAUGAAAUAAUUUAAAUUUUAGUAAUAAAAUAGAACUCAAAUGAAAAUUUUAAGACUACAAAUGCACUUUACCCAAAGUUGAGUUCAUGAGCUGAAUAAAAAUUGUGAAAGUUGUUGUCUAAUAUAUUUUGUAAUCCAACCUAAUCUAAAGAGAGAGAAAAGUUACAUAUUUAUUGAAAAUAGAGGUACCUACAACAAUUAUUGCAAUUACACCUAAUAAUUUCAUGUACGGUAUAAUGAUAUAACAUAAAAAUAAUAUAAAAAAUGAAAUUAAUAUAGUUUAAAAUUAACAAAAAUCAUAUAUAAGUUUGAUAAAUAUAAAAAAUAUAUAUUUUAUAUUUGACGUGUCGAUACAAAUUAUAAUAUGAUAAUUUUCAUGUUUGACAUUUAUUUGAUAUAUAAUAGAAAUAUAGAUAUAAGUAAAAAUAUCAAUGGGUAAGGUAUGGCGAUUAGAACAUUCUUCAUCUCGAUCAUUGAAUUUUUAUAUUAUACUCAUCAUCAUACUUAUAUCGAAUGGAUAUUUCAAAUCAUUCUCAUUUUCAUUUCCAUAACUAUUUAAUGGAUAUGAGUAAUUCUCACACCUAUAACUUUUUAAAAAAUAAAAAAUAAAAUUUAUUUUUUAACUUUUUUCAUUUUAUUUUGUAUAUUUAAGUAAUUUUUUUUUAUAAAUAUAUAGUAAUAUAUAUAUUUUUAAUAAAAUAUAUUAAUUAUAAUUAAUCAAAAAUAAUAAUUUAUAUUAUUUAAUAAAAAAUUUAUUUACUAAAUAUAUAUAAAUAUAUAUAAGAUAUGAAUACAGAAUAUGUAUUAUAUUACGUACGAGUCUAUAUCCUCGUAUCCAUAAAAAUUUAAAAUUAUAUUUAUCAUCAUCUCUAUACCCAUAAUAAAAUAUCCAUUUCAUUUCAUUUGGAUAAAACAAUCCAAAUUUUCAUUAUAUAUAAAUAAAAUUGAUAUCCCUAAAUACACUCGAUUAAUAAUUACAAUCCAUCUAAGAUAUAUAAAAGGAAAAAGGAGAAACAGAGGGAGUACAUACUAAUUUAAUUUAAUGGCAACACAAGUCACAUGACUAUUAGUGGUAGGGAGGGUAAUUAUCUACACAAAUUUAUAAAGAGAUUGAAUUAUAGGAAAGCUUGUACACACUAAAUUAUAUUAGGAUCAUUUUAAAACGGAUUGUUAAGCGUUCAAUAAAAUCUUGCCAUCUCAUAAUUUUUUUAAUAAAAAUAUUUAAUUAAUAUUUUAUGCCCCCUCACACUAAGUUAACUUUCAUUAACUCAUGAUUAAUUUAUUUAAAGAAUAAUAAACUUUUAAAAAACUAUUAAAUAUUAUCAUGAAAAUAAAAAACCCAAAAAAAAAAAAAAUUGCAAAAUGACUUUCCUUUGUUGCUUGAGUAUGAAAUACUUUUCAAUUAACAAAUGGAUUAAUAAUUGUUCUUUCUCAUAAUCUCAAGAUUUUUUUUUUUCAUUUUGAUUUUAUGUUGUUUCCACUCUAUUUUUAUUUUCUCUAGGUAAAUAAGGGGGUUUGUGUCAUGCUUAAUUUGUCUAUUCCAAGUUGUUUUGAUGGAUUUUUUCUCAUCAUAAAGGAAGGUUGUAAUGUUCAUUUUGUCCAGUCUCGUUUUAAUUUAAAUAUAAUUUGUUAUUUAUUUAUUUAUAGUUUAUUAUUAUUAUUAUUAUUUAUUUUAUUUCCUCUCUUAUUUCUCGCAUAGUCUGAAAGUCUUUAGGUGUAAUAAAUGCAUUGAAAACACCCCUCGUACCACCACCCACCAAAAUCAACUGCCUGCAAGUCCACCAUCCUAAGAGCUGUCUAACUGUGCAAUAGAAAUCACGAUGUCCAAAAGUCACUGAUAUGGCCUAAAAUUCUCCCCUCAAUCUUACAAAAUUUGAAAUUUGAAUCCCAUAUUGGUUCAAGCUUAAAAUGGGGAAUAAAAAAAAACAAAAAAAGAAAAAACCCACAGAGUAAAAAAAAACCUACAAAACAAAAAACCUAGAAAAACAAAAGAAUUUUUUCCAUCCAAAAAAAAGAGAAAUCUUAGAAAAAAAAAAAAGAGGAAAAUACAUAGAGAUGGAAAACCAUGCCCAAACCCAAAAAAAAAUUUUUAGCCUACUGAAACACAAAAAAAAAAUAAAAUUAAAAACACAAAAAAAUCCAACCCUUGGAACGGGAACCAUAGCCCCAGAAGCAAAAGAAGGCAAAACAAAAACCAUAAAGUUAAAAAAAAAUCAUUUUCUACCAAAACUUUCAACCUUGAUCUAGGCCAUUUGAGACUAGCUUUUGCAAAACUAAGGCUAGAUCGAAAGUUAGGAGGCCAAAGGGAAUUUUUUGGAGAUUUUUGAAAAUUUUUUAUCACUAGCAACGGUGACCUAUGACAAUGUGAAGGCAUGAGACAGAACCUAGACAGAGGGGCGAUACCUAGGUUUUCUCUUAGACAGAGAGAGAGAGAGAGCGUUUGAGAGUGAGUAUUAAUUAAAUUUUUUGCUUUUAACAUAAUAUAAAUUUCCAAAAUUAAAAUUAAAUUAAACAUUGCAAAAUCCUUUCUUAAAAAUUCUACAUUAUUUUAAAAACAAAAAAUAUAUUUUUAUUAAGAUAUUAUUUUACAGAUAAUUCAUAAUAAAACAUAUUAUUUUCUAGCAAAAAACCUAUUUUCUAUCAAAAUAUAUAUCUUUUCCUUUUUCCUUUUUCAAACGUAUUUUAUAAAAUAUAUUUUACGAAAAAUGAAAACAAAAAAUAAAAAUAAUUAAAGAAAAUUUGAAUUUUUUCUAUCUUAAAUAUAUUUUAAAAUAUUGUAAUUUAAAGUAAUUUUUAUUUUUGUUGUGAUAUACUUUAUCAAUAAAAUAAUAUUUUAAUAAAAAAUAGAUUUUUAAAAAGUUAAAAUUAAGUUAAAAAUUUUAAAAUCCUUUUUACAAAAAAUUCCAUAUCAUUUAUAAGAAAUUAAGUAAAAAUUUUUAUAUCAAUUUAAAGAAUUAAAUAAAAAACUCCUUAUCAUUUAAAAAAUAUUAAUUAAGUAAAUAUUAAUUAAAAAGUCUAUUUUGAAUCUAUUUUCCAUUAAAAAUUUUAUAUUAUAUAAAAUAAAAAAUAUUAUUUUCAAUAAUUUGAUUUUUUUCUUAUCGGAUCAGCAAAGGUAAAGGCUAUUAUAAAUGUUAAAUUUUAAUAAAGAAUAUAUUCAGAAUAAUUAUUUUCAAUAGAAAUUAAUUAUGAAUAGCUUCAUAUAUUUAUUUUUUUAAAGAGAUUUGAAGUUUUUAUUCAUUUUUGUAAAUUAAUGUAGAAAUUUAUACAUAAUUUUUUAAAUGACAUCAAAUUUUAUUCAAAAAGAUUUUGAAAUUUUUAACAAAAUUUCAAAUUUUGAAAAUUUAUUUUUAUUAAAAAUAAAUAAUAGUUAACUAAUAAAUUAUAUUAAAAUAAAAAACUUUUUAAAUUUAAUAUUUUAUAAAAUAUAUCUAAAAUAUAAAAAAAUUCAAGAUAGUAUCAUUUUUUGUCCCAAAAUUUUGAAUAAAAUUCUAUUUUGAUUCCUCAAUCUACCAUGUAAGAUGCCACCUAACAUCUUUCAUGUAAUGCCAGCUAGUAUUUACCAACAAUUUAAAUAGUUUCAUAAAUGAAAUGACUAAAAUAAUAUAAUUUUGAGUAAUUAAUGUCGUAACGAUUUUGGAGCCUCCCGACGAAUUUGAAAACAAAAAAUAAAAAAGAUAGAGUCACCACCAAUCUUUUUUGGCUAGGUACGAUUAGUCACCUAUUAAAAUUUAUCCUUUUAAUAAAGGUUUAAAAUUAAUUAAAAUUUAUUAAAAAGAUAAUUUUAUGAUCUGCGAAACAGUCUGGGUUCAGGAGUCGGUUACACGUGAGAAAGGAUUAGCACCCCUACAGUGUCGUUUAAAAUGGUAUCAAUUAACUAUGUGUUAUCCACUAAUUUUGAUAAAAACAGUCUUAUUUUCGGUGUUUGAAAAAUAAUUUUCUUGAUUUUCUUUGUUUUUUGAAAAAAUUUUCUUUUCUUAUUUGAUUUUAUUUAUUAUUUCAUUUUUUAUUCAAAUUUUAUUUGACAAAAAUAAAUCAAAACCCUUUUAUUGAAAUAAUUCUUAAAAUGUUCCAAUAUGUUGGUAACAUUAGAAGAACUCCUUCUCACCUAGAGAUUUCUUAGGCAUCGCUUCUCGAAAUACCUUGGAAUCUCAUUUUCGGAGGCUCAAAUUUAUCUUUUGCAAAAAACUAAGCCAUGCAUGCAAUGCAUAUGAUAAUAUGUUAGUGCAUGUAUUUUAUUCUCUUUUUUAGAAAUUUUAUUGGUUGUUUUAUUAAUUUUUUGUUAAAACUUUGAAAAAAAGAGGAACUUUUAUUAUAUUGAAGAUUUUCUAUAAAUAUUCUAAUACAUUAGUAAUAUUAAAAAAAAAUUUCACUUAGGGAUUUCUUAAAGCAUUUCUACUCGGAAUACUUUUAGAAUUCUGUCAUUAGAUAAAUUUUUUUUUUUCAUUUUUUAUUACUUUUUUUAAUUUUUUAAUUAAUUUUUAUUUAUUAUUUUAUAACCAAAAAAUUUUUUAUUGUAUUGAAAAUUUUUUAAUAAAUACUCCAAUACACCGAUAGUAUUUAAAAAAAAUCUUUUCACAUAGAGAUUUCGUAGGUAUCACUACUCGGAAUACCUUUGAAUCUCAUCGUCAGAUAAAAAAAUUUUUUUCUUUUUUUUGUAUUAUUUAUAAGAUUUAUUUAAAAAAACAAAUUUAUCACAAAUUUUUACUGUAUAUUUCAUUAUUUAUUCUUAUUUAUUAAUAUUAUAAAACAACAAAAAUUUAUUCUAGCAAAUUUAAACAUUUUAAUAUGCAUAAAUAUUAAUAAUAAAAUUAAAAAUAACAAAAAUAAUAUUUAAAAAAAUAAAAAAAAAUCACUUAAAAGUCAAUGUCGAUCUGGGCGGUUUGGCAGUCUAGUCAGGUUCAGCGGUUCGGGGCUAGUCCGGCUCGGUCUGGGUCAAUUCAGCUUAAUCGAUUAGAGGUUAAAUGAGAAGUAUGCAUCGAGUAGGAUGCGCAGAUCUCGGGUAAAGGUUGUGCUGACGUGAGGAUUCUUCGGGUCAAAACGACGUCGUUUUGACCCCUUUAAUGAAACGACGUUGUUUUAGCUUUCAACUUUCCAUAAAAGCCAAAAAAAAAAAUUUUCUCUCAUUUUCUCUUCUCCCUCUCUCUUUCUACACUCUUAAACCCUAUCUCUAGACUGAUAGGUCGAUCACCGUCUGUCGCUCUGACCGACAUCAGUGGUCAUCGAUCGAUCACCGAAAAAUACUCAAAAAACACCAAAACAUUUCCUUUAACUCCUUCUCAUCGGAUCCGACCUCUUUUUUCACCGAAAAUAGCCCCGAUCAAUGUAGAUUGGGGUUUAAAGUUUCAACCUCCUUAUUGUUUUAAACUAAAACUAACUAUUUUAUUUUUUUUGUUUUGCAGGUUUUGCUUGGCGCUGGGUUCCUCGUCGAACUAUGAUUUUUGUUUGAAUAGUUUUUUUUUUGCCAAGAAAUUUUUUUUUUAUUUUGAAAACUUUUUUUUUACAAGAUCCCUUCCCUUUCCUCUCUGUCUUUUUGGGGUCAGCAAGGAGCUUUAUUUUUAGAGCUUUCGUCAUGGCCUUGUGCCUAGACAGGUGGCAUAAGUUUGAUAGAAAUGGGUGUCAUGUACAGCAUUCCAGCACCAACCUUUCUGCCUCUUUUUGUUUAUUCUAUUUUAUCUAACUUUGGCCUUGUGCUUGGGUAGAUGGCAUAAGGCAUAGCAGGGGGUGGUGCUGUGCACGGCACCAGGCACCCCCUGCUUUGUUUUUUCCUUUUCUUGUAUUUUUUGUUUGUCUUCUUUUUUUGUUUGUUUUUUUGUAUUAUUAUUAUAUUUAAUAAUAAUAUUAUCUUAUUAGUAAAUUUGAUCAAGGUCUGACAAAUUUGAUAUCUACAGUUACCUCUCUUUACAUAUUGUUGAGAAUCAAGAAUAGUGCAAAACAAAGACAUCAAUUUUAUUCGAGAAAGGUUUUCUUUUUUUUUUUAUACUUAAACUAAUUAGAAAGCUUUUCUUAUCAAAUCGAAAUGCUUCUCUUACUCGAGGCUCGACAACUUUUGAAAAUUUAAAAUCUAAAAAAGGCUCAUCUCAGCAGAGGCUUAACAACUUUAAAAAUUCUAUCUUGAAAAAGCUCAUCUAAGUAGAGGCUCAACAAUUUUAAAAUCUCAUCUUAGAAAAAGCUCCUUUCCACAGAGGCUUAACAACUUUAAAAUUCUAUCUUGAAAAAAGCUUCUCUCAAUAGAGGUUCCACAACUUUAAAAAUUUUCAUCUUGAAAAAGGUUCCUCUCAGUAGAGGCUCAAUAAUUUUAAAAAUUCUAUCUCGAAAAAAGCUCCUUUCAGUAGAGGCUCAACAACUUUAAAAAAUUCUCAUCUUGAAAAAAAGUUCUCUCAGCAAAGGCUCAAUAAUUUUAAAAAUUCUAUCUUGAAAAAAAGCUCAUCUCAGUAAAAGCUCAAUAACUUAAAAAAAUUCUCAUCUUGAAAAAGACUCAUCUCAACAGAGGCUCAAUAACUUUAAAAAAUUUAUCUUGAAAAAAACUCAUCUCAGCAUAGCCUCAACAACUUUAAAAAAUUUUCAUCUUGAAAAAAAAGCUCUUCUCAGUAGAGGCUCAACAACUUUAAAUUAAACCAUUAAAAAAUAACUUCAAAUAUCACUAUCAAAGGAUAAAUAAUCUCAGAUAUCACCAUCGAAAAGAUGCAAAUGACUUUGGAUGUCAUCACCGAAGGAAACUCGAAUAUCACCAUCGAGAAAAUGCAAUUCAAGCUUUAAUACUCAGGUAUCACCACCGAGAAAAUGCAAAUGCAAAUUCAAACUUUAAACUCGGAUAUCACCAUUAAGAAUAUACAAAAGAUUUCGGAUAUUGCCAUCGAAGAAAACUCGAAUAUCACCAUCGAAAAAAUGUAAUUCAAGCAUUAAUACUCGGAUAUCACCAUUGAGAGAAUAUAAAUGCAAAUUCAACCUUUAAACUCAGAUAUCACCACCAAGAAUAUGUAAAAAACUUUGAAUAUCGCCAUCGAAAGAAACUCGAAUAUCCCCAUCGAGAAAAUGCAAUUCAAACUUUAAUACUUGGAUAUCAUCAUCGAGAGAAUACAAAUGACUUUUUUAAUACUUGGAUAUCACCACUGAGUGAUUUUGAAAAUGUCUUGGAUUUCACCUCCAAGAAAAUGCAAAUGCAAAUUUAAACUUUAAACUCAGAUAUCACCACUGAUUGAUUUUGAAAAUGUCAUGGAUAUCACCACCAAGAAAAUGCAAAUGCAAAAAUGCAAGUGCAAAUUUAAACUUUAAACUUGGAUAUUACCACUGAUUGAUUUUGAAAAUAUCUUGGAUAUCACCACCAAGAAAAAGCAAAUGCAAAUUUAAACUUUAAACUCAUAUAUCACCACCGAUUGAUUUUGAAAAUAAUUUAUCACAAUAUUUUCCUUGACUAAUGUCGAUUCACUGGGUUAACAACUUUCUUGCUAGCUAGAUUGGGCUUAAAACUUUCAUCUUGUACCAUCACAUCUUGAUCUUUUGAAUAUGUUUCUACCUUUUUUUUUUUACAGGUAACAAGCUUUAUUUAUAAAGCUUUUUGGAAUUCAAAUCCCAAAUUUUUUGGGAUUCAAAUCUCAUAUUUUCAACCGACGUGUUAGACUUUUGGUAGCUGAGAUUCACAUUGUCAAGUUAGGCAAGGUAUCAAGUGGCUGUCGUUGGUGGCGGUGGUCGUGAUUUUGGACUUUAGGGAGAGUGCAUUUAAUGCACUCAAAAUUCUGUCGAGCAAAAUCAAAAAAGAAAAUAUAUAUAUAUAUAUAAUAAUAAUAAUAAUAAUAAUAAUAAAUACAAAAUGGUGCUUACAGCUGCUCCUCUUUACUUAUUUCUGAGAAUCAUAAAUAAGACAAAGACAAAUGAACAACCAUUUUGUUCGAAAAAGAAGAAACAUUGAGCAUAAAAUCUUUUUUUUAAGGGUUCCAGAAGUUCAACAACAUUUUUUAAAAUUUAAAACGCUCAUCUGAGCAGAAGCUCAACAACUUUUAAAAAUUUAAAAAGGCUCCUCUAAGCAAAGGCUCAACAACUUUAAAAUUCAUCAUCUUGGAAAAGCUCCUCUAAGUAGAGGCUCAACAACUUUUAAAAAUUUAAUAAGGCUCGAAAUCAAGUUCUCAUCUUUAAACAAAUAAAUUUCUCUUUUUUGAAAUCUUUUGUUUGACCAUUAUCUUCAUCCGAAUAUCAAAAUCUUGCUUUUCAUUAGGAAAUGAAAAGUCUUUAUCCUUAUUAUAAAUGCUCAUAGAUGCAUGUACUGAGUGCUUUAAAUGCAAUACAUGUAAUGCAAUCAAAAUUAUUUUUUGUAGUAAAAAGGUUCUCAAAAUCUCUCACUUUUUGCUUCUUUUAUCACAAUUCUUAAUAAUUGUCAUAUGACCAAUCUAUUCUUAACAUCUGACCGUUGUAUUCUUCUCUAAUGAUACUUUUCUUCUUCAAAAGUCUGUAACAUUAAUGUCUUAUCAUGCCUUUCUCAUCUUUUUUCAUCUGUCUUUACCAACUUUUAAAAAAUAGUGCUAAAAUAUUUCAUGUUUGUUUUUUUUUUUAUCAUUUUAAGUUCAAAACAAACAAAAUGCAAUCACACAUUACUCCUAUUUGUACGGUGAACAAAAAUAUUAAAUGAGAAUAAAAGAAUGGAUAGGCGUUAUUUCCAAAGAAAAAAUAGCAUAUUUCAUUAGAUGACAAAGUAUUUGAGUCGAAAUAAAGGUGCCCAAAUAAUGAUCAUAAGAUAAUUAUGAAUAAAGUAUUCCUAGAUUCUUUUUUUAAAACUAAAUCAAAUGACUUGAUACUUCAAAGUUCGUCAAACUACACUUACCCCCUAUGUUGUAAGUACAUCCAAAUACUUUUUUCAGGUUUUUAGCUUAGAUGAGUCAUUAUUUUUCAUUUCUUUUUGACUUUUUUCUUUUUUUUUUCAAGCAAGAUAUUUCUUCACAGCAUUUGAAUUUAUCGGAGUAGGUAAAUCACUUCCGUCUAUUUAUGCUAAAAUCAAUACCCCACUAAAAAAAGGCCUUUUUCACCACGUACGAACUCUCUCAAUUUGGUGUCCAUUUUUUUCGAAUGUCAUGUUGAUUUGGAAGGAUCUUUUUCAGUACUAAGUCUCCUUCCCUAAAGUGAUGGGGAUGGAUUCUCUUGUCAUAUGCUCUCAUCAUCCUCUUUUGAUAUAAUUGACCAUGACAAAGUAUUGUAAGUCUUUUCUCUUUAAUGAUAUUCAAUUGUUCAUAACGAUUUUGAACCUAUUCUGCUUCCUCUAACUCUAUCUCCAUCAGGACUUUCAGCGAGAAAAUUUUUACUUCGACUAGUAGUACAGUUUCCAUUUUAUAUACCAAAGAGAACGGGGUGGUGCCAAUAGAUGUUCGGACUAAUGUUUUAUAAACAUGCAAAGCAAAAGGUAACUUUUCAUACCAAUCUUUGUAAGUGUCAGUCAUUUUCUCUAAGAUUCUUUUAAUAUUUUUAUUUGCAACCUCCACUGCCCCAUUCAUCUUUGGACGAUAUGGUACCAAAUUAUAAUGAUGGAUCUUAAAUUAAAUGCAUACUUCAUUCAUCAUUUUUCUGUUCAAAUUUUUGGCAUUAUCAGAAAUAAUCAUUUUUUAAAGCCCAUAUCUACAUAUUAUCUAUUUUUUUAUGAACUUGUAUACCACAGAUUAGGUCACACUAGCAUAUGAUGCAGUUUCUACCUAUUUUGUAAAGUAAUCAAUUACCAUAAAGAUGAAUCUAUGCCUAUUUAAAGCUUUUGGAGUGAUGGGAUCGAUGACAUCCAUAACCUACAUAGAGAAUGACCACAAAAAAACCAAAACGUGUAAUGUUGUUAAAAGAGCAUGGAUCUUGUCAACAUAGAUCUGACACUUAUGGCAUCUUCUAACAUAAUUAAUAUAGUUUUUCUCUAUUGUCAACUAAUAGUAACUGACCCUUAUAAUUUUCUUAUCCAUCAUAUGACCAUUUGCAUAUGCCCCACAAACUCUAUCAUGUACUUAUUCAAUAAUCCUUUUCGUUUCAGCUGCAUUCACACAUCUUAAGAGUAUUUGAUCUUAAUCAUUUUUAUAGAAGACAUCUCCAUCUAGGAAAAAACUCAUAGCCAACCUUCUGAUAGUCCUCUUAUCAUUUUUUGUUGCAUGUUUUGGGUAUUGCUGACUUUUAAUGUAUUGUAUAAGGUCAUGAUACCAUGACUUCCCAUCAACUUCUUCUUUAACACCCGAAUAAUAUGCUGAUUCAUCCUUCACAUCCAGUUUGAUGGGUUGGAUUUCAAUAUUUGUAUCUAUUUUAAUCAUUGCAACUAGAGUAGCUAGUGCAUCAAUAAUUUGGUUUUCCUCUCUAGGUAAAUGCUCAAAUUAAACUUCUUCGAAUUGUUUGACCAACUUAAAAAUGUAUUUAUGGUAUCGGAUCAACAUGGAAUCUCUUGUUUCCUAUUCUUCUCGUAACUAAUAGAUGACUAGAGCUAAAUUUCCAAACACAUCUACUAUUUUGAUCUUUUUUUCAAUCGCUGCUCAUAGACUCAUAACAUAGGCCUCGUAUUCAGCCAUAUUGUUUGUCCAAUUGAAAUUCAAUCUGGCUGUGAUAGGAUAAUAAUGUUCAUAAGGAGAUAUUAAAAUUACCCCAAUACCAUAGCCUAAAGCAUUAACAGCUCCAUCAAAAUACAUCCUUUAAGACUUCUUAACAGGUUCAUUUUUUUCAAUGGCCAUCACAUCUUCAUCAGAAAAAUCCAGUUUCAUGAGUUCAUAAUCUUCGGUUGCAUGAUUGGUAAGAAACUCGGUUAUCGCACUUCUUUUAAUAGCCUUUUGAGUCACAUAAACAAUACCAUAUUCUGAAAGCAUAACUUGCUAUCAUGCUAUUCUCUCUGUCAAUGAAGGCUUUUCAAAAAUAUAUUUAAUAGGAUCUAACUUUGCUAUGAGCUAAGUAGUAUGAUAAAACAUGUAUUGUCGAAGCCUUUGAGCUGUUCAGGCCAAUGCAUAACAUAUCUUCUCUAAUAGAGAAUACUUAGACUCGUAAUCAGUGAAUUUCUUGCUCAAAUAGUAAAUUACUCAUUUUUUCUGUUAGUUUUAUCUCUUUGCCCCAACACACAUCCCAUUGAAUUUUUAUGCACUUUAAGUACAAAAUCAAAGGUUUUUUCGAGAUUGGUAGUACCAACACAGGUAGAUUUGACAAGUAUUCUUUAAUCUUAUCAAAAGUUUCUUGACAUUCGUCAUUCCAUUCUCUUGGAUCAUGUUUUCUAAGAAGCUUAAAAAUAAGAUUGCACUUAUAGGUGAGUUGAGAGAUAAAACGAGCAAUAUAGUUCAAUCUCCCUAGGAAACCUCGCACUUGUUUUGGGGUACGAAGAUGAAAUAAGUUCUGGAUGGCUUGUAUCUUAUCCGAAUUCAUUUCGAUUCUUCUUUCACUAAUCACAAAGCCUAAUAAUUUUUUUAAUUUGGCACCGAAUGUAUAUUUAAUAGGAUUCAACUUUAGCUUAAAUCUUCUCAACCUGUUAAAUAACUUUUUGAGAUUAACUACAUGAUCUUCUCUUUUAUGAGAUUUAUGAUCAUAUCAUCUACAUAUAUUUUUAUUUUUUUAUGCAUCAUAUCAUGAAAGAGAGUCACUAUUGCUCUUUGAUAAGUGGCACCAGUAUUUUUCAACUAAAAAAGAAUGACUUUGUAACAGAAUGUCCCUCACAUGGUCAUAAAUAUGGUUUUCUUUAUAUCAUCUUGAGCUAUCUUGAUCUGAUUAUAGCCUAAAAAACCAUCCAUAAAGGAAAAUAUAUAGUGCCUAGCAAUAUUAUCUACUAGAGUAUCGAUAUGGGAUAGAAAAAAAUUAUUCUUGGGACUCGUCCUAUUCAGGUCCUGAUAAUCGACACACAUUCUCACUUUUCUAUCCUUCUCAAGAACUGGCACUAUAUUGGUUACCCAUUUCGGAUAUUUUGCCACCUCCAAAAAUUUAAUAUCAAAUUGCUUCUUCACUUUUUCUUUAAUCUUCAACAACAUCUCUAGCUUCAUACACCUUAACUUUUGCUGUACCAACUUGCAUUCUAGUUUCAAAGAUAAUUUAUGCUCUACAAUAUUAAUGCUGAGUCUCGACAUAUCCUAGUAAGAUCACAUGAACACAUCCACAUAUUCUUAAAGCAGUUAUUCUAACUUCUACCUUUCAGUUGGCAAAAAAGAUGUACCAACUUUGACCUCUUUUUUAUUUUUACCGUCUCUCAAAUUCACUAAUUCGAUAAUUUUUUUUGGGAUUCAAUUAGCUUAUCUUCACGUUCUAUUAAUUUUAACAAAUUAAGAGGCAGUGUGUAGUUAUCUGAAUCUUUUUCAUUAUCAAGUUCAUUAAUAUGAAUUAAGUUUUUGAAAUCAAAUUUGAGAUUAUUGCCAUGAUUAUCUUUGAAACCCUGCAAAGGGUAAAAUGAAGAGAACAUUGGCACACAAAAAUGAAAUUGUAAGAAAAUGAUUAAGACAGAAUGAAAAGGGAAAUGAUAUAAACGAGUGAAAGUGAAAACAAAUAGAAGAAAUACGGAUGCAUCUUUUAAGUCUUUUAUUAAAACAACAAAUGUAAACAAGUCACAAAAGAUCUCUUAAUGCCCAUAAAAAAUGAUUAAAGAUUUAAAGUUUUACAGUACCUUACUUCUCAAAAGUUUUAAAGGCAACAAGCAGCUCUAUAACUUUUCAAUUAUCGAACUCAAAAUCUAAAGGAUAAGGGUGCACAAAUAACUCUUCAUUUUAGCUAUUCUUUUCUCUACCAUCCGCCAUUUGAAUGGCUAGCUCUAAAAACUCUUCCAUGAAUUUUGCAUUUAGGGCUUCAAGUGAAUUUGGGUAGAUACAUCCUCCCGAAUAAAAAGAAUCAUAGAGGUAGGGAAAGACCAUGGGCUCUAACUUUAGCUCAUAUCCCCCAAGAUUAGCCCUACUCUUAUCUUUUUUCUUAUUCACCAUUUUCAUUCUGUCUCAUCUUGUUGGCUUAUAUCCUAAGCUGAAUCUAUUUUUCUUGUCAUAUACUACUAGUGGCUUUAUGAUUCCUUACAAGUUUUUUUCUAAUCCAAUUUCAGAUUGCCAUCCCAUUCCAAUGAGCUGUUUAAUGACCAUUUUAAAAGUCGUAGACAGGUGUGAAGAAUAUAAUUUAGAUCUUUCAGCUAUAUAUGUUACGUUAGUAACUUAAAAGAUCUAUAUGAGCACUCUAAGACUUUAUCUGUUACUUUUACAUAAGGAGUAUUUACCGGUUUGGUGACCAGUAAAUCUUUUCUCUUACCACACAUGUCAAAUUUUCAUCAAUAAUGAAUUUAACUUUUUGAUGCAAUGAGGAUGAAACAGCACUCGUCAUAUGAAUCCAUGACCUAACUAACAAGCAACUGUAUGAGGAAGAGAUAUCCAUAAGUUAAACUUUCAUGUUGAAAGUGCACGAACCAAUUUGUAAUGGCAUUUUUAUGUCUCACAGCAUCUCUCUUUGGGUCUCAUCAAAGGCUCAAACUAUUGUAUGACUAGGUUUCAUGUAAGUUUUAUCCACAGAUAGUUUUACCAGAGCAGUCAUAGGCAUAACAUUAAUGGAUGAGCCAUUAUUGAUCAAAAUCUUAGCUAUUAUAUGACUCUUGAAUUUUACAGUAAUGUGAAAAGCCUUGGUACUUAUUCGAUCUUUAGGAAGAAUCUCUUCAUCACUGAAAGAGAUAUAGUUUGAAAUUGUCAGAUUGCCAACAAGCCGUUUUACGUAUUCAACAGAUAAAUUAUGAGACACAUAUGCUUGAUUAAGCACUUUCAGUAGAGCAUUACGGUGUGACUCUAAGCUUAGUAAUAAUGACAAUAGCAAAAUUUUAGCUGGCAUCUUAUUCAACUAUUCUACCAUACUAUACUCACUAUAUUUUAUUAACUUUAGAAAUUCAUAAGCUUCACUCUCAGAGACUGACUUUUAACAUCUUUAUCUGGGACUACAACAUGAUUAUUCUGACAUUCCUCUUUUACUUUCUCUUUUUUGGCUUUCUCUAAAGCUUUUGGAGUAUAACAUCUUUCACUUCGAGUUAUACCUCUUAUGUCCAUUUUGUUCGCAGUAUCUAGAUUGACUACGAUAUGACAAUUGUACUUUUAUGGUACUGCUUUAUCAUUCUGGUAUGAAAAAGGACUAGAAACUUUAAUUGUCACUAUUGGUCGGGAUAUGGAUUUUUUUAACCUCGAUGUUGACUUCUCAUCAUAAUAAAUUGUUACUGGUCUACACAUAAACUUAUUCUUUGAAUCAAUGGUAGACACUUCAUCUUUCAUUAAUUCUUUUUUUUCUUCGUAAAAUUUUAUCUGACCUAUAUUCAUCAACUUCUGCACCUCUUGACGAAAUUGAUGACAACUUUCGAUAGAAUGCCCCAAAGCACCUUUAUGAUAAUUAUAGCUUUCAAUUGACUUAAUUGCUUUAGAGUAAUUCUGAGGUUCUAUUGACUUUAACAUAUCAGCUUUAACCAAGACUUCAAACACUUUAGCCAUCAAAGUCUUAACUUCAUCUAUUUUUUCCUUCAUGUGACUUCUUUGCCCAUCAAUUAAGGUAUUUAUUGAUGGUUUGGCAUGGUUCAGUAGAGGGUUCCCAUUAACAUUUGGAGUCUCUUAUUGGUUGGUUUAAAAGUUUAACACCCCUUUAUUGAUUAAUCAUUACACUUUGAGCUUUAAAAUAGUACAAUUCUCAAUGGAAUGACUGGGUUUCUAUAGUGAUAAUCACAAUGCACGUUGGGAUCAUACCAUUUGGGAAACAGAGGUUUAAAGGUUCAACAAUAACAGAAGCGAGUAAAUGUUUCUCAAUAAGUCAGGGAUACAAAUCUGUAUAUGUCAUGGGAAUGGGGUCGAAGAUAGAUUUUUCUUGGGUAUUUCUUAGGGCUUUUGGACCAUUGUUUGGACUAGGUCUCCAUUCUAGUCUGGUAAGUGCAGCAGGAUGAUUAUAGGAAUAGGUGGGUGUCCAAAAAGAUAGCUAAAACUGAGAUAAAUAAGCUGAUUGUGAUAAUGGUUGGUAUGGCUGAUAUGGAUGAGUAAACGUAACAUUAUUUAUGAAAGGGUAAUGGGUUUAGUAGACUGGUGCAGGAUAGGGCGUGAAAUCUCUAAAUUAUUACCCCAAGUAGUUCACCGUUUGAGCUUCAUUCUAUUUCUUUUUUGAAACUUCACCUUUCUUUGCUCCACUCAUUUUUCAUGCAUUGAGCUUACCAUUCUUUAUAGCAUUUUUAACAAUCUCACCUGAUAUCACUAUAUUUGUAAAGUUCUUGGUUACAUUACCUAUCAAUCUCUCAUAGUACGGUACUUUCAAAGUGUUCACAAAUAAGAUAAUUAUCUCUUUCUCGGUGAAAUGAGGUUGAACUUGUGCAGCCAUAUCUCUCCACAUUUAUACAUACUCUUUAAAACUUUUUAUUAUUUUUUUUCAUACUUUAUAGAGAUAGACGGUCUGAAAUCAGAUCCGUGACAUGCCAAUAUUGUGUAAAGAAUGCCCCAGUGAGCUCUUGCUAGAAAUGAAUACAAGCUUUAUCUAAUUGGACAUACCAUCUAACUAUAGAUCCCGUAAGGUUAUCCUAAAAUACAUGGAUCAACAACUUCUCAUCACGAGCAUAUGUUGUUAUCUUACGAUAAUACAUAGUGAUAUGGGUCAUCGAACAUUUUGUGUCAUCAUUUUUCUUAAAUUUAAAGACCUUGAAUUUAGGUGGAAUGACCACGUCUGGGACCAAACAAAGGUCGGCUGCAUCUAUGGAGCCAUAAAAAUUUAUUCCCUCUACGGCCUUAAGUUUUUCUUCUAAUACUUUCAUCUUUUGUUGGGCAUUGGUAUCUUUUACUUUCUCGAGUGUCUACAUCCCUAGUUUUCUCUCUUCUUGGGAUUAUCCAAGUCAAGAAUUAAGAUUGGCUCGGGUGAUUUUUUCAUCAUAAUGGGAUUAACAAAAUUUUGGAAUUAUCCUGAAACAAGUGUGGAUGUCAUUUUUGGAUAAGGAUUGAGAUAUUCACUGGAGUAAGAAUUUGUACUCUAGUUCUUUGAGAAGGUUGGGUCGAUUAUAGCUCAAAUCUUAAAGGGUAAACAAGAUCUACCAUAUAUGGUAAUUGCUCUUAAAAGCUAGGAUUUUCUUCUACUGCUUUUUCCUUGUUAGGUUUCUUGAGCAUAUAUAUUAUUACACUGAAAUCUCCUCUUAGUUUUCCUUAAGCUUUCUCAAUUCUCUCAAAUUGAUCGACCUAUUCUUGCUUAAUGAUUCUUGUUUGAGUCCUAGUAUUGUAUGAAUGAUAAAUAAGUUGGUCAAAAUUUUUGGUGGGCGAGCUAUUCUUGAACCUUUAUUACCACAAAGUUUUUGUUUUUUUUUAAAUCAGAAUGUUGUGUUGAAAAUUUUAUUUUUUUUACUUAUUUUAUGAAAAUGAUGUACUUAAUGCAUGAAUGCAAGUGGGAGAUAUUUGCUCUUGGAUGAAUUUUAACACUAAAAAUUUUUAUUGAUUCCAUACAACUUUUAUUACAUAGGAUUUACCAUCUUAGAAUUAUAUCCAUAGAAGUAUUUGACUUAUUCAUAAUGGUACUUCACCUCAUAUAAAAAGUUCACUAGGCGCUAUUCAUAUUCUCCUAUGGGAUUAACUUCUCUUCUUAACGCUUCUACCUUUUCAACCAUCUCUUAUGCUUUCGUCACUACCUUGUAAAUUUGAUUAGUCAGGUACUCUAUGUACUGUUGCCUCCCUAAGCUUUCUAUUUUCCAUCUCAUGCGAGCAUUUCUUUCUGAAUCACAUGUAAAAAUCUAAUCUUUUUUCCUUCUAUGCCAUUCAUCUAUUAUUGUUAAAAUAUGGCUCUUAUGGUUUUGCAAUUGCAUCUCUAACCCUUGGAUCACCUAAUGAAAUGAUUCUUUUUUAUUCAGUAUUUCAAAGUACUUUCUUCUCUCUUUUGCGAGCAUGGCUUUCAACCUUUCCUCUUC
Molecule: long non-coding RNA, 75767 nt
Filed under: Durio zibethinus
Lineage: Eukaryota; Viridiplantae; Streptophyta; Magnoliopsida; Malvales; Malvaceae
Description: long non-coding RNA (DZIB_LNC001094)
Source: RNAcentral